UUUUUUUUUUUUUUUUUUUGGGUCUAGUAUAGGCAGAAUUUGUGGUUUAAUGUAAUGCGUUUGUGUUUGAUUAGGAUAUAUCAGUUGGGAAAUCGAUUCAGUUCAAGUUCAUACUACAAGAAAGCACAGGGAAUAUCUCAUGGCAGCCUGGCCCUGAUCGGAUUUUCCAGACCUGGGAAACUAUGAACAGGAUCACUGUUUCCGAAGAUUGGGCAGAUGCUGAGCUUCAGAAAAUAAUAGAGGAAGAUCAGGUUUCAAAUCAAAGCGAUGGUUCAAAUGUUAACGCAGAUAUGUUGAAUAUGGAUGAGAACCUGACACAGCCGAAUGGUGAACUGGCCUUCAAUACAACCAAUGAACCGAAAAUCACCAAUAGUAACACUGAUUCGGCAGAGAAACCAUCAGUAGAACCAAGGAAGGAACAAAUUGGUGCUGAUAAUGGUUCUCCUUCACAAGAGAAUGUGAACCCUAAAUGGCCAAAGGCAUAUGUGGAAUCAUACAAGGAACGAGUUGCCACAAGAACUGCAGUGCUUAAUGAAGAGAGAGUUAUUUUUCCAAGCGAGGAUUCUACAGCCAUCUCAAGUAAGGAGUUGUUGGUGGCAGACAACAUCUGCGGAAAUAAUGGUAGAGCUGCAACAGUAAUGAACCUUUCAAGCACUCACGUCGAGGGAAGCCUAGUUAACCACGAAGAAGGUCCUGUUCUGGUACCUGGGCUGACUCCUUCACCAGCUGUUCCAAAUGAAGAAGUGAACAAAGAGGGAAUCGAGAAACAGAUGUCUUUUGAUGGCUCGGUUGGAGCAUUUGAAGCUAAGGAUCGUAAUAUGCCAGAGGUAACUGCUUGAUGAGAGUGAAGUAUCUUUUAUCUUUUGCUGUAUCUUCUUGUACUGCAUUUACCUCAGCCUGAAAUAACAUCCAUUCCAUUUCCAUAAGACCGCGAGUUGUCCAGGGCUAUAGGAGAGAUUCUAUACUACUAGGUAGUUUUUGGUUUCAUCUUGUAUGUUGUUGGAAUCUAUGUUUUCCAUGAAGAGAAGUUCAAGUUGAUGAUGUAUCGCAAGGCAAUUAUUUAAUUUCAUCAAAAUUGAGCAAUCAUCUAUAAAUUCGCAUGAAGAAACUGUUCGUGUAUUUUCGUUACAAUCAUUAACCAACAAAGUUGACCAUCUUCGAUUCUUUGCACAAUAUCAUUGCAGUGUAAUAAACGUUGUAUGCUACAAUACAAAUCCAUAGCCAUGUAUUCUCCUAUUGCAAAUUGAAACUGCGCUGUCUGAUUCAAACUGAAACUAUUAACACUCGCAAUGUGACAAGGAAUUCUCUAUCAAGCAUUUCGUUUGUAUCUUUUAUUUAUGCUGCUAAUUCAUCAGCAUUUAGAGGAACCCUAUUCCUGAAAAAUGUGAGAGUUCAUGAUGAAUGAUUUUUCUUUGCUAUGCAUAAGGCGAUGCAUUGUUGUCGAACAUCAGUAUUUGAUUUAGAUGUUCUUGGCCCUUGAUAAUGCUGUUAUUGAUGUCCUCUUUUCUGCUAUCUUUUCAUGUACUCAAACCAAUGGAUUCAGUUAGACGAGAAGCGAGAACCAUACAGUGACCUACCUGAAGCAGAAACAAGUGUAAUGACCAACGGCGAUCAGGAGAAUUUUGACGAUGAACAAUUCCACUCAGAGCCCGUCAAUGAUAGUGUCCUGUGCAACGGCCAACCUCAAGUGGAAACAGCUUCCGCGAUCAGUGAGAGAGAGAAUUCUGCUAAGGGGGGAGGACAGUCCAACUCAGAGCCAAUCAACGAGGUCUUGCACAAUGAUAUGCAAUGGGGUCGUAGAAUGCUGCAAAACCUUCUGUCUGACUUCAGAUUGUUUUGGUAUUGACUUUUCCGGAAACCUGGGUAGAGAAUUUCCGGCAUUCACGUCAGCCUGCUGUUACUCUUCCGGCUUUGUUGCUGAAGUUUUGUGGUAGCCUGCAAAGAGGAGAGAGAGGCAAUCUUAUAAACAACGGUUAUAUGUAGAUAUGAUGCAAGAGUGCUCAGGCUUUUGUAUUCUUUUAGUUUGUCAUAUAACUGUGGCAUGAUGUGUGAGAGGAAAAUUUGUACCAAAUACCAAGUUUUGUAAGGAUUUGGUUGCUUUUUUCUAGUACUGUCAUAAAAUGCAGUUGGUCGAAGUGGAAAGCACCUGACUCCGUCUUUCGGAUGUAAAAUAAACGCCUUCUUUUUGUGUUUUUGAUGAGUUAUGUUUUCAUGUGUCGAACUAUUAUAUGAAGAAUGCGAAGGAGCCAAGCAGCGUGCGUGGCUGAAAUUUCUGUUGUGCAUAGCCCUUCGGGUUAGAACAUAAUUAGGAAACCAGUUAGCGAUGAAUUGUGUCAAAUCUCGGGAGAGUUUUGGAUUCCCUCCAUUGUGACCGAAACGGAAAUUAUGCUGUGCAGGAAAAAUGCAGCUUGAAAUUCUGAGUCCAAGAAGUAUCAAAGAAGUUGCUUGCCGAUGCUACCAGCUAACAGGUAGCUGGAGAACAAACUGUACUGACUGAGAUCCAUAUUAGUUAUCAACAAGCACAUUGCGUAUGGAAUUGGGUGCUCUUCACAAUUUCAGGUGCAGGAGUAAAUGCUCUUAACCGACCGAAUUAGAAGCCCUUGCGAGGUCAGUCUAUCCCUAAAUGCUAGUACGUUGACUAUUGAGAUUUACAGCAAGAUUUAAUUAUCCGAGAUUCCGAAGCAAAAUUUAAAUCUUGUUUUAAUUUACAGCAUUUGAUUCCUCCCAUAGAUCCUGAAGCAAGAACAUAUAGUGGACAUCAAAAUUUAUCAUUUCCAACACCAUAUUUUCUGGAGAAAUGAUUUCCGCACCCUUCUUCCCACUACUGUUUAUUUUUAGCAAUCAAAGGAUAAUCGAAUGAAUCACAUUAACAUGAGUAUGCAAAAAUCAGUCUAGUCUAUCUGUAUCGUAUCGAAUUCAUAUGACUAGGGUACGAAGAUGUGAAAAAGAUUUGAAAAGGAACCAACACAAUGUAAUUACUUAUGGACUUUGACGGGAUAAUACAAUUCCUUCGUUUUGAGAACAAGAUGGUCUUAAAUUUCAGGUUCCAUGCUGCAAUCUUAUGAUCAGUAAAAUCUACGUAAAAAUUUUCAAGGGGAAAAAUGUGAACUAUAUUCAGAGAUGCAAUCCCCAACCUCAAUAUGUAAGCAGGAAAAGAUGGGGCAAGAUGAAAAAAGAAACACAAAGAAUUUGCCCAGCUUUCCACCAACAAAAUAUACACAUACCCGCGUUGGCAAUAUUGAAACUGGCUCUCCGAAAGGGGUAAAUAUAUUCCGAAUUGUACAAGAUGCCGAAGUCGUGUGCCUCCAAAAGCCAGUCUUUCUACUUUUACCUCCUUGUUCCUUUAGUUUUCACAAAGCAUUGGAGGUUGGGGAGAGAUGCAGCCACCUGGACCUCGCCAAGACCAUUGUUUCAUUUGUCGAGUGCAAGAGGAAGAAUGCGCUAGCAGGAGCCAAGAUUGAAAUGACUCGUUUCAAUGUUUGUCUGCAACCCCAUUCUCUGCUGCCGUGAAAAUGAUAAACUUCGUGAACCAUGCAAUAUGUCUUCCUUGGGUCGUUUUGCAACCGACUCUAUCAAUCUGCAAAAAGAUAAUAACUAAAUUGAAAAAUUUAGGAAACACCGACAUUCAUGAAAUAGUAAACAUUGAACUCAAAAAUCUUUUGGAGCCUUUUAUUGUAUAUCCCAGGCAGUGUCUGACCAUAAUCUUGAACUACUUGUCAAUCUUACAGAUAUACAUUUGCGCAUAGGCUAGGAGUUCGUUCUAUUUGACCUCUGGCCUAGCAACACCAAGCGAAAAAAUAAAAAAAUAAAAACUCAAAAAAUGCCUAAAUGAACCAUAAAGACAUCUAAUAUCCAAGCAGAAACACAAAAGAAGCCAUAAAUCAACAUAAAGUAUGACUUGGCCAUAUUAUAUCCAACCAAGAACCCUUCAGGCUUCCAGAAUUGCCCAGCAAAUAACAAAGAUUUGGUUUCAGAAAUGUCUCAGCUCAAACAGGGUGAAAAUAAGUGUUGUGUUACCUUGGGGAACUGGCACGCUUUAGAACUUGCUGACUCACCGUAAAAGUACUUCCAGGUUCAACUUCAGCAGCCUGUAUAUUUGGCAUUGAACACACAGGCAUUAAUCAGGAAAUUCAACGCAAAAGUCAAAAAUAUUACACACUAGAUGGAGGUCUCCUGUUUCCAGUUAAAGGAAGAUAGUAAUUUUGGGUUCAGAAGCUUCCCUCUCACAGGAGAUAAAUGGAAAUGGUUUCACCACAUGCACAAGUUAGAUCCAGCACAAAUAUUGGGAAGAAAAAUGAAAUCUGUGAGAAGUUUAAAACAAGUCUAUGAGAAGUUUAAAAUUCAAGUAGAAGCCAUACAGUGGGGUGGUAAUGGUGAUGAGGAUAUCUAAAAACAUAUCGACUGAGGUACGAAUAAUUGCUAUUCAUUCAAACCAAAAAGAGAAAAGAACAGAGGUAAAUCAAGCACAUGGGAAUACUUGGAUAACGGGUAGAAAUGAGGGACUGACAACCAAGCCCGUACCUUUCAAAACAGGAAUUAAUGGAGCCAAUAAAGCAGCAGUAGCAAACAUUGAGGCCAGCUCAUUCCGCUUACAGUGUUUUAGCCAUCACAUCUUCGUGAGAUGCAAAAUUCAAAAUAGGAGUGGUUCUCCUUUCAGUGUCUUGCCCACAUACCCUUUAUCCAAGCAUCACCUAUGUUUUUGAACAUAGAAAAUCAAAUCAACUAAUGAAAGCAUCAGCAAUUAUCCCCACCUCUGAAGUUCUUUCUUUAGGCGAUCCAUCCCUUAGCAGCUCAGCCGAUCCUGGACCAACCAUGUCCAAUAGAAAUCCGUUUUCAUUUCCUUUAUUUAAAUCUCUGUCCACGGCACCAGAACGAGGUGCAAGAUAUGCUACAUAUUUAUCUGCCAUCCGACACACAAAAUACAUUCAGCACAUACAAACAAAAAUACCACAGAAAACUGCAAGGAAAAAAACGUGGUUAACUAAUAAAGUUACCAGCCAAGCUGUGAAGGGCAUUCUCAGCAGCCUGUUGUUGAGCAUCCUUCCUCGUCCUACCCAUUCCAAAACCUAUCUUCUCUCCAGUGAAAAGAACCUUUAAAAACGAAGUUAACAAUGAGCACGUUAGAGUCCAAAAUUGAUACAAGAUAGCUCCUCAAAACAAAAUAAAGUACAAAUGCAAAAUGUAUAAACAAACAAAUUAAGAAAGGAGCUUUAAAUUUUUUUCCAAAAUUGCUCUUAAAAAAAGACAUUUUCUCCUGGCCGGGUUUCAUUGAUUUGUUCUGCUAAAGAAAGAUUAAUGACAAAUCAGGGUCAGCUUAUAUUUAGAAAACAGCACUCCUUAAGACAACAUUUCAAAUAAAACAUCUAUUGGGUAUAAUUAAGUCAUUUCACAACAACUUCAUACAUAUAAGGCAUAUAAUUUACACAGAACAACAGCUGUGAUGUCAAUAAGCAAUUAAACUACCAAAGUACAAAGGGAAAGAAAGGAAGUUCACUGACCUCAACAGAAAACUGCAAGUCAUUGCUGGUGCUUAAAACAGACCUGAACUCAAUCUGAGCAACGGGCAUAUCAUGGAUAACUCCAUUAGGAAAAAUUAAAAAGAUAAGAAAGAAAGGAGGGCAUGGGGCGCCACAACGGGGGCAUAAAACUAAAGCUAUUCAUACCUUUGAACUGCACCUCCGUCCAAUUUCCUGCAGCACUCCAAUAGAUAAAGGGGAUGGUACCAGGUUUACUUUACCAGAUUCUGUUUGAGAUUCUAUAUUCAAAGAAGAUGCCUGAAUCUGGGAUACACCAGCCUCUGCACCGAAAAACCAAAUCACUCCUCAAAAACACCAUAUACUAUUAAUUCUAAUAGAAAAUUAUAACUUAUCUCGUGAAUUUUUUAUCAAAAACCGUACAAAGACAAAACGAUAAUCCCAUUCCUAUCCUUCCAAGUUGUGGGGUUAACAGGCUACAAGUUAAUAAAAUUAAAACGAAGGAGAUAAAGAUAAAGAUAAAGAUAAAGACAAGGGGAAAGGCUCAUUAGGCACAAAGCAGAAUGAUGUUAAACUAUACUAAGUUGGAAAGACUAUUGGACUAUUGGAAAAGACUGAUGGGAAGACUAUUGGACUCUCCAGUUCUUUUUAAUAUUAAAAAAAAUAUUCCUCAUUUAAACUUAAAAAGUAGAAUGAUGUUAGGCAGCAAGUAUUUUAUAAAAGAAACCUUUCAAACUACUUGAGAGGAUAAGGACAAAUCAAAAGGGAACUUAAAAAUCAAGGUUAAAGGUAAUUUGAAAAUUAAUGGAUAAUAAGUAAAAUAUCUAUUUUUAAGAUUUUCUGAGCUCCAAGGAACAUCAAUGUCUCCCUUGUAUGUUUAAGAUUUUUCAUGAAAUGACCAAAAUGAUUUCCAGACAAAUUCAGGGACCACUUCUAUCGAUUUUCGUUGUCAGCGACCAAAGUGAGGAGUUAUGCCAAUCUUAGGAACCAUUUUGGGUAAAAAUCCUAAAUUAGAUUACCUGAUGGCUGACUUGGCACAGGAAGAUUUUGCAAAUCACACCCAGAUGAUAUCUGCAAAUAGAGAAAGUUUUGGCCACUGAGAUGUUUCUGGAGUUCUUAUAGUAACACCUUAAUUCAAAUUGUCAAAACAAGUCUCUUAAAGAAAUUUUAACAAAUUCUGACCAUACCUCUUCCCUCUUUAAAUCUGAUUUGUGUGAGAGCAAACCAGUGGGUGUCGAACCUGGUUUAGCAGGACUGAAAGGAUUCUGGUAAACUGACUUUUCAGGUUUUGAAACAUCAGGCUGCUGAACAAGCCCAGAAGGGCGAUUACUCGGAUGUCCUCUAUUGUUGUCGUCAUCAUCAACCAACCAUCCUCCUUGUGCAUUUAUUGAGGAUGCUGGCAGUUGUACAGGCACUCUAGAUAGAAGAGGGGGCUCAGCAGAGCUUUGACUCCUUAUAUCUAGAUUAGGAGUUGUACCAAGGAGUCCUCUCCUCAUUUCAUGGUCACGAUCAGAAAAGCUAUCUCGUCUAACAGGAAGUCCAAGCAGACCAGGUUUCUGAGAAGGCAUGACCGGCCUCAAAGAUGUACCGGCAGCAUUGGGAAGAAUUGCAGUCGGUGCUUGAGAGUUGUCACACCUUGACUCGGCAUUUUUCACAGAUUGAACCACUGACUCCACGCUACCCUUAUCAUCAGAUGGGUUCAAUCUUCGUUCCACUUCGCUACCAUUCAUUCCUUCACUAAUGGGAGCAUUAGCAUUUCCAUUUGGUGCAAAACCGGUAUCCUCGAACAUCAAGUAAUUGCUCACAUCAGGAGCAGGAGGCAAAUUUACCACCUCAUCUUCAUAAAAAACUCCAGAAAUUCUUCGCAACAAAAUUUCAUCAAACUCUUUGAAAAAACAACCUCUGACAUUGCAUGCAACAUUUCUUGCUACACAGAGGACUGGAACUGCACUAGCUGUCUCUGCUUGAGGAGCAUAAUAAGGGGUGAAUGCUGGAACAACAUGGACUCGAGGUUGAUCCUUAUCUUCCCAGACCUUGGAACGGUCAUCAAUAACCAUUGCCAUCUUUGGAUGGCACACUCCUUGUUGGAAGACAUUGAGUAAAGAUUUCCUGGAGCCUGAUUUAACACAAACAACACGGUCCAGAAGCUGCUUUGAGUCUAUUAAGUGUGACCCUGGGUCAAGAAGCCUCCACAUUUCUAAGGCAUAAUCUCUUUCAGCCAUAGUACAGACGUAAACUUCAAACCUCUUGCGUCCUUUUGCAGUUAAAUAACUUCUCAAAUCUUCCCAUGCAGGUCGUAACCGCACAAGCACACUGGUAUCGCGAUUCUGCAUUAAAAACAACAUUGUAUUGUAGUCCUUUGCACAUUUGUAUGAGAAUAUGUAGCUACUAUAAUGAGAUUAACUACAUAUCACUCAUUCUACUUUUUUGUAAGAGGACAGAUGUUUUACUAUAUAAGUUCUGACAGCUUCCUGACUAAUCAAACCGCCACAUGAAUUUUGGAAAAUUUAAGAGGUAAAUAUCGCACAGAACGGGUGCAUGUAUCAAUGGAUAAAAAAGUUAACAUCCAUACGUUGAUCAAAAAAGCAAUGCAGGUGUUUGGAAAACCUACAAAGGUCUAGCUAAAUGAAAAAAAAUUUAAAACUGAAUUGCAAACAAGAUUCGCCUACGCUCUUAGCAUGCAGCCAAAUAUUUUGUCUGCCUAAGGGACACACUACGUAGUUUUCAUAACUUUUGCAUUAGGAUGGUGUUGUUCUCAAGUCCUAGGAAUGAGAGAUAUUGCAACGUAUUGUCUCAAUCCGCUCAUUCAUUAUCUCUAAAAAAAGGCAUUUAGCGCACUUCCCAAUCCACCAGGCCAAACAUAUAAAACAAAAGGACACAAACACAUAAAACAUAAAGAAACAAACAUGACUAGAGGAUCACCUCAGGAUUGAUGCGAGUGAGCACAAUGUUCUUCUCUGGCAAUCUAAUGAUAGGCCGAACAAUUUUCUCGUGGUUAUCAGACAGUGGAGGAACCUCCUCUAGUUGUACCUUAUACAACUUUCCAUUAUCCGUCACACAAUCAUUAUCUAUGUACUGCUUCAACAGCCACCUAUCGUCCAUGUACCGCUUCAUUUCAGCAGACAUUCCGGCCAUUCGAACCCCAUCACUCUCGCGUGCAACCCAGCUUCGUAAAGUCUCAACUCUAUCCUCAAAAGACUUCAUGGUGUUGGCAACAAUCAACGUCUCAUCGAGAUCAAACACAAUUGAAAGAACCCUCAGAUUCAGCAUUCCUAGAGAAGCACUGUACAGACCUAGAGGAACCGCAUAGCACCAAAAGCACGGAAAUUUCUUCUGCUUACUCGGCAUGGCUACCAAGUGAAUCUCUUCAUCCCCAACCAACACAGUCGCCGUCUGCGUAACACAAUUAAUCACCGCAUUAGUACACUCCGCUUGAUUAACUCGAAAAUAAAAACAAAAUCUGGAUCACAUUCUUCAUUUAAUCAAGAUACUAAGUGAGCUAACUUUACUAGGUCAGUUUAUCCAAUCAAAUUACAUCCAAAAACUUCAGAUUAAACUUCUAUGCUGCUGGUACAUUUUCUAGGGAACCAAACAAAAAGCUCAAUCUAACAAAACCAACAUAAAAAAAAAGCGAAAUUCGGAAAACGGAAGCGAUUGAGUGGGGACCUUGAACUCAUAGAAACAGGAGGCGUGGAGAUUGAUCAAAUGCGGCUGUUCGACAGGGGAGGACGAUUCGAGUUUGCAUCGAACCGAAAACGAAGAAAUCGUCUGGAGAAUCGAGAGGGGAGGACACCUCUCGCUUUGCUGCGAAAUCCGGUGGAUUCGAAUCUCAUUGUUUGGGAACUGGAAACUCCCCUCCGUCACCGGAAUAGCGUCCAGCUCCCCCAAACACAGCUCGCCAUGGUAGACCACGGACUUAAACCCUAAACGGCUCAUUAAUUUAGAUCAAUCCGAGAACGAAAGCGCGAAAAUUUGAGGCCAAUUCGUAAUUUGAAAAGAUCAGGGGGUUUUCUGUGAAAAAUUUGGGAGUAAUUCUCCAGUUUCGCUCUCUGCUCCUCCUUUCUCACUACUCUCAGACCUCUUCGCCCUCACUCUCUCUCUCUCUCUAACUUUCCCUCUCUAUCUCCCUCUCUCUGCCUACGGCUUCAAACAAUGAGACUCGCCGGGUAUUUAUACGCCCAAGGGGGCAGUUAUGUGUCCAAAUUACCAUUAUAUCCAUUCGGUCCGGACCCAUUGCCUUACGUGUCAUGCCCUUGGCGGGUAGACGAGAAAAUAAUUUGACGCGUGUCGUAUGGAGGAGUCCCAUGAUUUUGAAUGUACGGAUCCGAACCGUUGGAUCGUGGGUCGGAUUUUUGGACUUUUCCGAAUCGUUCAGCUCAAGAGGCAUCAAGAAUUGGCCACCGAAAUACAAAGGUACAGGUCUUUAUUAUUGCGAAAAUAAAAUGAGGCUAUUCAAUAGCCAUCGCGUAUUUCAUUACUUUUCUUCCUUUCCGUCCAAAAUUAGAAAAAAAGAAUAUCGAAUAAUUGAUUCAUCAUUGAGAGGAUUAACUCAAAAAAGACGAAUAUUGUGAUGCUUUAACAGCAACAGUUCAAACAAGACUUUUCCAUUUCGUGUACUGUGGAAAAUACGAUAUUAUUUUAUUUUUUAUUUUUUUAAUUCAGACAGUUAAUUUGAUUUUUGUCAGCUAAUUAACGGAAACCAGGCUGAACUUUGUUAUUACUUACAUGAAAUUUCAAUUUGAAAAUAUAUUUUAUACAUAUAUAUAUAUAUAUAUAUAUAUAAUUAUAAGACCAACAUCAAUGGUUAAGUUAAAAUUCAAAAUUUAAGUUUUAAACUCGUCCAAAAUUUCUCCAAUCAUUGGGCUAUAAAAAUGACUUGGAUUAAGACUUAUUUUUGGGAUAAAUUUAACUGAGAAAACAGACUAAGAUUAAUGGCUGAGACCCAGUUGCUAACUUUGUCAAUCACUUACAAAAUGAAAUUUUAACGAAAAACUUCCAGUACUUUUCACUUUAACGAAAAAUUAUAUUUUUACAUUAAAAAGUUAAUCCUGGUAUUAUUCACUUUAACUUUUAUUUUAUCCUUAUCAUUACAACUCAAAGUUUUUAAAAUUUUUUUUAUUAAUUUUCCUCUUACAAAAUAGCAUCGACUGUUUUUUUUUAUUUUUUUUUAUCUGACGGGCCACAUAGGAUGAGCUGAAACAGGAAAAGUUGUAUUUAUAAUGUUUUGGUACGUAAUUGACCGGGAAUAAACGUCGCGGUCAUAAAGAAUGUUAGUAAGCUGGGUGAGGUCCAUUUGGACUUUAUUUAAAUUGGGGGACUGUGAAAAUGGGCCUCUAGAGAUACUUGGCCCUCAAAAUCCAAUUAGAAGUCUCAAAUAGGAUUUGACAACUCAAUUUAUUGCAUGUGACUCUUUCUUAAUCGGUGAAUUGCAGUAGCGAAAUUACCAGCUGGUCUUUAUUUUUUAAUAAAAAAAAUAGAUUUCCAAAAACAUUUACUUUAUAAAUAAAAGUUUGCUAUUUGUUAGGUUUAUUGCAUGACCACACAUAUACGGGAUUCCAGGGGUUUUUUCCUCUCCUAAUUUUAAUUUUUUCCUCAAAAAAAUAUCAUUCACCUUAUCUCCUAAAAUCCUAAUCCUAAAGCACAGAACCAAGCUCCAAAAUCCAUCAUAACCCACUAAGCAAAAAAAGAAGCAAAAGCACAAAGAACCAAAAAUUAAAGUCAAGAACUUUCUCAUCUGUAAAAUGACAUUGAAAAAACAAAAGCUGGGAACUUUGAAGAAAAGUAGAUUACUGUGGAAUCUGGAACCCUAAGCUGAAAUGGGAGGCUCUGGAAUCCUGCUUAUGUAACGGAAAAGUGCUUUUGCGUUUCUGGGCCUGUAUGGUUUUAACCAAAAACCAAAACCCAAAUGGCAUAGAAACAGAGAAGGCAGAUGGCCGGUGGGAAAGUAAAGGGGGAGGAUUAAAUUGAAAACCCAUGUUGCGUACGAACAAAAGUUUAGGAAAUAGGAAUUGGGUUUAGUGAAUUAUCACUUUUCAGUGGGAAAUUUGAUAAAUUUGAAGAGAUCAAAAGCACCAAUUACAGAAACGAGUGAGAGGAGAGGCUAUGACUGUUCGUGAUGGCUGACAUUGUUUUUCUUGGGUUUAAUCUCUUACCCAAACUGCAAGGGAAGGGACAGAUUAGGCAAAUUUAAAGUGAGGGUUAUGGUGGAGAGGGACUUAAUGGGAGUGAUCACACUCGUAGGUCAAAUUUGAUUGAUUUGGGCAUUCUCCUCCAUAAUUCUUUAGGCAUUUUCUGGUACUGGUAGGUAAUCGGUCACACGGAAACUGCUCAAGUUUCAAACUCACCAAAACCAAGUUUUGUACAAAAGAAAAUAUAUCUUAGUUGAUUUUUUCUUGCUAGGAGGAAAAAUCCUUCUUUCUUGACGCACGAGAGAUUUUUGGGUUAACAUGCGGACGUUAUCAACCCAACUGGUUAACCUUUAUCAACAUUCCCUUCACUUCAAACACCUUAUUUACUGUUCGACAUAAUUAAGUAAGCGGAAGUGAUUUCCGCACUCAUUUUUCUCUCCUGCAUUCCUCCCCUUUUCUUAGGAUUUGGAUUGAAUAGGUCAAAAGAGAAUCAAGAGUCGGAAAAAAGGAGACAAGUGCAAAAGGAGAAAACAGGAAUGUGAAAUUCACUACCUUAAGCAACUCGACGUGGAAUGUUCUAAUAUGACAACAAUAUGAAGAAUGAAACCUUAAUAAUUUCAAGUUUCGUAGUUUGAAGUGAACAGCAAAAUGUAAAUGCCGAAGGAGGUCUUCAGCUUCCAAUCAUCAAAAUAUAAUACGAACAAUCAUGUCUACAGAGAAUAUGGUUCAUUGGAUGCACCUGAUAUUUGUUCCGCUAGCAAUGUGAGGACCGAUAUUCAGAACAGACGUGCACUCACAAGCUUUCUCUAACAUUUACAGUAUUAUCGCGUGCCUUCUACCAUCAGCUCCUUCAGGAAUGAGUUGCCGCUUAAUUAUCAUGCUGAUUAGGCCAACCCCAUGUCAAAUAAUAAUGUUGAGAUAAUGACGAGGAUGGAUGCAAAACCAAUAAUCCGGGGUUGAUGGUCACAUGGGGUGGUCACCUACCUCGAUGGCUUGCAGGAGAGGAAUUUCCUCUCUCACUUCCAAGAUCAAUAUCUUCAACUUCACACCCCUCCAAACUAACAGGAAUGGUGUUGACACUUGGUUCGGAGCUAGCAUUGCUGCAUGUGGCAAGAGGAGAAUCCAUAGCACCAAUUGUAUUGCUUUUUGUUGGUUUUGUUCUGACGCUAUACCCAGAGGAGGCUGGAACAUUUGUCAGAACUGGCCGUAGAUUGCCUGCCAUGCUUCGCUUUAUAUCCUGCAUAAGAAAAUUCCAAAAUUAGUUAAAAACUACUUCUUACAACGAGUGCUUUGCUAGUGACGCGGAUAAUUAUGUAUCACACCAAGCAUAAUUUGGAUAGUACUAAGUGGGUUGCAAGAUCUGAAUGCAGAACAUUACGCAUUAAGUGAAACAAAGUGCACUUGAACAACGAAGGUGAUACAUACCAUGUGCCUCAUAGCCAUAUCAAAGGACUUUUUAGAAAGAUUUCUUCCAAAGCCUGAGCUUUCAGAGGAUGAAGGCUUCCCAGCAGAACCCUUAAGAGUAGUGUAAUGGUCAUAUUGCUUAGGUGGUGCCAAUCUCCUCGAGUUUACUACUCUCUCAACCAUUUGUGUUCCCAUAAGUACAGGGUUCACAUCAUCAUUGUCAUGGGCAGAUGCUCUGCUUAUGACUCGAUGAGAGUUCCCACUGGUAGCGGUAAUAACAUUUGAAGCCCGUGCUCUAGAAGGUGAACACGAUUGCUGUCUUGGAUUUCCGUUGCAACCAGCCACAACAGAAGAUGUUUUAACACUUGGCGCUCCAGGCCUAUCCCUAGAGGCUGAAGCCGGCCUUUGUGGCAAUGAUGUUCUUAAAUUUGGCGGAGCAUCAUGUGAAAACCCAGGAAUCUUAGAGGAUUUUGAGGGCCUUGGUUUUACCGUUGGAGAACUUCCACGUGAUGAAACGGGAGUUUUUGAACUUGUGGGACGUAACUUUGAUGCUGAAGAAGAUCGACCAGGAGGGGCAGAUACAGCAGAUGCACUUGAUGAACUUAGUUGACGGGUUGGUGUCGCUGAUCUUGAUGUUGGUGCAGAAGGUCUGCCAGUUGGUGUAGAAGAGCGAGGAGUGGACCGAGAAGGAGUUGAAGAUCUCACUGGAGGAGCCGCAAGCUUUGCGGAUGAUGAGGUGGCUCGUGAAUUUGGGGUGGAGGAUCGUGAGGGCUUGGUUGAUGAAGGUAAUGUGGACCGCCCAGUUGGUGUUGUGGACCGUCCAGUUGGAGUUGUAGACCUACGAGUAGCAGCUCCUGACCCUCUGGGUGUUGAGGGCCUUCUGUUACCAGUACUGGAAGAGUUCAGUCCAGACGGCAAUGUUGGCUGCUUAGAUGUUAUAUUGUUCCUUGAAGCAGAUUCUAUCUGGUUGUUUGCUAGCUGAAAGUCCCAAGUUAUGGAAACAUAACAGCAUAAAUUUGCAAAUCAAGACUUCAAAAGUAAAAUGAAAUGUCCCAAAACAAACAAUAAAACACCACAUGCAGUCAUAAGUUUGUAACUCGUAAAGAAGACUAAAACUAUGGGAAGAUUCAAGUCCAACAUUACUAUGACACACAUACAUCUCAUAGAAUCUACGAUCAACGAGUCAAAUGUACAAAUGCUGCACGUACAUUUCAUAGAAUUAACAACAAUGAGUCAAAUGUACGAAUGCAGCACAUACAUCUCAUAGAAUUUAACGCUUAUAUGCAUCUAGAAAUCAUUUUAACGAGUCCUUACCCGAGAUUUUGGAGCGAAUACACGGUCAUUAGUAACCUCAGUCUGAUUCGUUAUUGUUUUCUGCACUUCCAUAUCCAAGGACGGAAAAAGUGGAGUAGCCGGUGGAGUAAGAAGCCUGUACAUAGAAAAGAUCACCGAUAAACGAUAGCAGAACAACUCCGGAGUCCAGACCAAAGCAUAGAGAUAAGAGCGAGAACUAUAACUAUAAGUCUACAAAAUUGAACAAGAAUUUCUAUGUGAAGGCUCAAAUCAAUUUUUCUUGAAAACAGCCCUUAGAAACAGAACAGCCCCCGAUUUUUCGGACACCUCAGCGAAAUGUUUUGGAAAUCAGAUCCCAUCUCAUUAGUCCUAGGAUAAUUAAUCCUAUCCAAUUUAGCAACAGAGCAAUUAUCUUCAUCAAUUCAACAAGUUACCAUGAUCGGAGGCUUAAACUUUGAUUAGUCCUAGGAAAAUUUAAUCCCACCAAAAAAUAAGCAUAAAAUCAAAGACUUGAACUUCGACACUAAUUUACUCACCAAUCGUAAUCAGACUUCUCAUUCUCCGAAUUCAAAAACUCAUCCACCCGGCUCUUCCGCGGCGGCGCCCCAACAGUCCUAGAAACCGCCGCGCCUCCGCGGUUAACAGAUUCUGCACAAACAAGCGCAAGCACCAUCAAAACCAACAGACAAAGACCGAAACUUUAAACCACAAACAAGAAACCCAAAAGGUCGUACCCGGAGGAGCAGCGGCGGCAAUAGCGUCGAGCUCAUCCGCGUUCUUGCUCGGAGGAAGAAGAAGAAAGCCGGUAUUUUUCUCCUUGUCGCGCCUCCGCAUCUCGAGAAACAAAGCGAGCUCUUCGUCUCUGUCGUUCGCGUUCACCACCUUCCCGAAGCUCCGUUCUCGCGCCCUCGACUCCAAUGUAACUUCCAUGGUUGUCUCUGCAGCUCAGCAAACACAGAGGCUGCUGCGAGGAGAGAGAGAGGAGGAGCGGAGUUUUUUGGUAGCUGAAAUUUUCAGGUGCUGUUUUUUCUUGGCAGUUCUCUCUCUCUCUCUCUCUCUCUCUCUCUCUCUCUGUUUUGCAAGAGUUCAGAAAUUUGAAUACGAAAACGAAGCAUUGGGAAAUUAAUAUUUUAUUUAUGGGCUAAGAGGUGGCGAUAAUUACGACUCUGCCAUUGUAUUUGUUCUUGCGAGACGCGGCCUUAGUCAUCUUCCUCAUCCACUGUAGACAUGUGAAGAUAAAGCUGGAUUGAAUUGGAUACAUGUAUGCGUGAUUUUUGGGAUAGAAAAAGCUUAGAACUUCUUCCAUAAGAUUCUGUAGGAGAAGAUUGAGAUUUGAACGCAUGACUUCAAGUGCAGAGUAAACGCUCUUAAUUACUUUAUAUAUAAGUAUCUUAUCUAGAAUGGUAAUCAAAGUUUAGCAUCUUAGAAACUCUUGGAAUUGGAUUAAAAGACGAGAGAGAAUUAAGUUACUGGUUCACUUUCCUCCAAAUAUAUCAAAAACAAACGUGUAGCUCAUUAGAUUGUUAAAUUUCAAUAUGUGACAAGGAAAAUCUCUUAAUAAGAUUUUUAUAUUGCUUGUAACUAGACUAUUUGUUUUAGUAUGUUGCAAAAUAUGUUCAAGAUUGUGAAUACAUAUUACAUUUGAUCACUCUAAUUACAUAAAAUGUGCUGUUGAGAGAUGUCACAGUCUGACAACAUAAUAUGUUAAACUGUGUGAUAAAAGAAUACUUUGCUCAUUUGUCAUGUUUGCAUGUGAACAUAUCAACUACAACCUCAACUACAUCGAGAUUUUGUGAUCAAACGUAAGAUAAAAACAAUUGAAACUCAUCAAUCAAUGGAUAACCCCUAUAACUUGACAAUAAACGAAUUGUUUUUUUUUUAAUAAUAACUCCCUACACUUGAGUUAAUAAUACACUUUCCAAACUAAUCAAAAAUUACAAACUUACAUAAAAUACUUGAUUACUUGCAAUACAAGAAAUCUUAUAAUUAAUAGGUCACCUCCUCAAUUCCUAAAAAUACUAUUCUACCCCCAUCUUUUAUGAAGUUGCUUGAAUGUACUAGUACAAGAAGCUCCAAAAUUAUUGAAAGAUUAUCACAUUCCAAGCAAAUGACGAAAUCAGUGGCAAUUUCGUAAUUAAGCGCUCAGGCAAACCCAUUUUCCAAACGAGAUAUAAAAUUCGGGAGUAACAUUCCCAUUACGUAAUGGCACAUGGUGGAAGCCGCGAGCCUUUGCCUGACGACAUGUCGUAUUAAAACGCCGAGGAAUUUAAUUCAAACUUUCUUGUUCAAAAGAUGCUCGGAUUUAAACGUGGGUUGUUGGAUUCCUUUCCUCGAGAUGGCCUACUCCACAUCGGACGGCUGUUGUUGGUUGGCAGAUUUAUUAGGAGCUUGUAUGUCGUGGGUCCCACCUCGAGAAUCGUGUGGUUUAAAUUUUGAUAUGUCUCGACAAUAAAAAAAAUUUCAAUAUGCCGAAACACAAUUCAAUAUACUAAAUGUCAUAAUAUAAAUAAUUAAAUAUUUAAAAAAUAUAUAUUUCAACUAUUUGUAUUAAAAUACUGUAUUGUCUGACACACUUACAAUUUCCCCUUAAUAUGCAGUUCGUGGGUCCGGAUGAGAUUGCAGAUUGCUGUGACUGGUCAGUCACCUAUGGCCCACACAAAGCCCAAUCCGAAAAGGAUCAUAUCAUAUGACUGUAUUUUUUAAGAAAAUGUUAUUGAUAUUUCAAAAAUCAUAUUCUACACUUAUUAUAAAUGUAUUUUUCUUUUUAAAUAUAGACAGUUUGGAGCGUUUAAGAAAAAUUUCACUGUAGAUCAUGUAAUUCAAUUUUUAAAAAUUUUGGACAUGAAGUUUGUACUUUUUUAAUUUGAUUUAACUUGCUAACUCAUUAGAUUUGAGGAUGAAAUUUCGCGUAGCACUACAUGCGUGUUUUAUAUGUUCGACUUUUUAUAGUAUUGCGUGUUUUAAAUCAGUUUGAAAAACUGAGAAUUUCGAGCGUUUAAACUAGGUUUUCAGGUUUCUGGCAAAAUAUUAAUCGUUGUUUUUAGGGCACGUUUUCUUAAGCCAAAGCACUUAAAUGUUACUUAUGCUCAUGCAUGUGAUGUCAUGUCAAAUUUCAGUUCUUAAUUUUAAUGGAAGGUAGGAAUUGAAUAAAGAAACUAUAAUAUACCAAAUUAAAUAAAGAAAACUAAUAAAAAAAUUUGAAACCUUUCAGUUUUAACAAUAAAAACAAAAUAAAUAGUAAAAUAAAUAGUAUCAGAAUUGAAUUUUUUAAUGUAAAAAUAUGAUUUUUCGUUAAAAUGAAUAAAACCAGAAGUUUUUUGUUAAAAUUCCCAAUUAAAUAAGUAAGGAAACUACAAAAUUAAGGUUUGCCUAAAAUCAGAAAAACAAGUAAGACAAUGCAUUUCUUAACAUCAAACUCCACACAUAAAAACUCAACCUUCCAUUUUCAAUCCCCUAAAACUAAAUUCGGGAAUCAAUAUCCAUACAUUCAUUUCUACGAAUCAAACAUAGCCUGCGUGUAAGUUUCGAGAGUAAAAUAGAAUAAGACAACAUUUUGUGUGAGGAUAGAAAUACAUGUGUUGUGUUAGGGUAUGGUUGGUACUCUACUUGAAUAUAAUUUUUUAAAAUAAAAAACAAUUUUAAGUUUUGAGCUUUAAAAACUUGUUUGGUAUGAUUAUUUUCAAAAAUUAAACUCAAGACUAACUAAAAAAUAUAGUCUAUUACCUAAAAACAUAAAAAAUGAGUUUUUAGAGUUUUUAAAUUUAAAUUCACUUAUUUCUUUUCUCUCCCUCCUCCCCCCUCACUCCAAAUCUAUUUCUCUCUUCUUCUUUCUCUGUCCUAUUUUUUUACCAUUUUCGUCUCUUUUUCAAUCCGUUCUUUUCAUUUUCUCCAUUCUUUCUCUCAUUUCUCUUCCUCUCUAUCUCGUCCAAUCCUCUAUUUCCUUUCUCUUUCUUUCAAUCAUCUCUUACUUUCUUUCAUUCUCUCUCCUCUUUCUGCCUCUCUUGCGACCUUUUUUUUUAGAUAUCUUUGUCUAGUUUAAGUCGUAAGAUUUAAAAUUUUUAAAUCGCAAACCAAUCAAGUUUUUGAGUUUUUAAAAAUUGUUAUCAAGAAAUGUUUUGAAAAAGGAUAAAGGAAUUCAAAUGGAAUACCAAACAUGCCCCUUAGUGUUUUCAGAUAUACGAUCAAAUACACUAAGUGCCAUAAUGCAAUUAGUUGAAUUUUUUUCUUCAAAUAUUUAGGCACUUAUAUUAUGACACUUAUGUGUCAGUGUUUCUAACACAUUCAAAAACUUUUUGUAUUUUUGGGGUCGGAAGUGAGUGAGACGUGCAUGGCAUGUUGCAUGCUCAAUCGAGCCCCAUGCUCCUCUCAUGUGUUAUUUGUAGUGGGUAAGGGGCACGUGGUUGUCGCAUCGAGUGUAGAAUUUUUGGUGAUAGUCGGAGCAAUCAGUGCCUAAGACAAUGAUGUUUUUACACCAUCAGGUCCUGUCGUCCCGAGACCAUACAAAGCAUUUGUAGCUGCAGAAUAAGAAUAAUUGCAAGUGGUAGGCAUCACCGCAUUAUUGCAAGGGAGAUGUUAACCACAUUCUCAGUUCAACAUUUUUGUUCUACUUUUUCGAUUCUCUUUUAUUUUGAUUUUUAUUCUCUUUCUAUUUUAUUUGUAAUGAUUGAAGAUGACUUGAACCGUCAACUUUUUAGGUCGUCCUUUAAAGAUCGACUUUAUAAAACACUUAUCAAAUCAAUCAACUUUUAGCUAUUCAAUUAACGUUGUUAAAAUUUCAAUGUUUAAUUGUUUGAUCGAAGAACAUGAUUCAUCUAAUCAUUGAAUACUAGUUUGAUGGCUAAAGGAUUUCACAUUUGGUUGAUUUUGGCAAAGAUAAUCUUUAUACAACGACCUAGAAAAUAAAGGGUUCGAAUCAUCAUACAAUGUUUCUAUCCGUUUUUAUGAUAGGCAACUAUGUCACUGAAAGCGGACGUUACUCAAAUGCUUAAGAGCAUUUACCUUUGACCUCGAGAUUAUUCGUUUGAUUCCCUCCGCUGGCAACAUCGCUGGAGAAUAACUCUCACAGAAUUAGAUUCAUGAAUGAAUAAUGAGCACAGAAACAAUGCAAUUUUCCGAUAGGCAACUUUUUAAGUAGAAGCAACAGUUCAUAGGAUAGGAAGGUGAAUUAGCCGCACAGGCUCGGUUAUAACCAGAAAAACAAAAUGAUCUGUUCAAUUAGACUCGCUCGGACUAAACAAAAUCAUCCGUUUCAACUCUCUUCCAUGAUAUUACCUUCGACAGUCUAGGAGUUUCAGAAGGUUGAAACUUUGUCGGAAGACCUGUAACGCUGUCAGUUGGUUCUCUAGGAAAAGUGUCCAGCAACUCAAUUCGCCAUGGACCAACUAACCACUGCUCCAACAACUCUCAACCCAAAGAGGCAUUGCAUCCGUAUCAACUUUAAUGGCCCUGAAACGUGAGGAGUCUCCACAAGAAAUUGGAUAUGGAUAUAUGGGGAGAUGGAGAAUGGCUUUCAUGAAAACAACCACACCCCAAUAGCCAUCACAGAGUGGAGAAGAAGGGCAAGGUCGCGAGGAGUCUGAUAAUGUAGAACAUUGUUCCUUUCACUCCAAAGAUACCAGCUGAUGAAUGGAAACCGACAAAGCUCUUCCCCUGACAAGACAUGCCGCAGCUGAUUCAAUAAAUCCAUAGCUGCGCCCCAACACCUUUGGGAACUGCAGCAGUAAAAGCUGUCAUUUCCUACUUGUCCAAACCAUAUUGCAUGCGCCAACGCUUCAGAACCCACCCCACAUCUGAAGCAUGAAGCUGAAUUCCCCACCCAGUGCUUGGAAGCAGAAUGCAGGAAAGUAGAAAGGCACGUCAUAAACAAACUAGUCAAAUCUGGUGCAUAUCUCCACAUGAAGUUCCAACAAGACCGUUCGUUCCCUGGAACUUCCCAGUUACAAGAGUAUCAUACGUAUCGUCAUGUGGUACAAGACCUUUGUCAAGCAUCUCAUCAUGCAACCUAAAAGCCUCUUGCAAAUGCCCCUCCUUGAAGUUCCCAGCAACCAAAGUAUUAUAAAUAUGAACACUGGGAGUCAUUCCCCUACUAUUCAUGUCUUCAAAGUUCUUUCGUGCAUUCUCUAGCUGUCCUUUGUUACGAAGGGCAUUUAUCAGAACUGUAUAUGUUCUUUUAUCAGGUACAAUUCCCUUCUGAAGCAUCUCUGAGUAGAGAUCUGUAGCAGAUUGUAACUCUCCCUCUCUUAGAAAUCCAUCAAUUAAUGUAGUGUAUGCUUUCAAAUCACAAGGAAUACCUUCUCUAAUCAUCCUGUUGUGCCAGUCAAGAGCCGCUUCCACGUUAUUUAAACUCCGGAAGCCAGAUAUCAUGCUACUGUAAACAGCUACAUUUGGAGAUAAACCAACUUGAAGGAGUUCGAAGAAAAGUUCACGCGCAGAUCCCAUGUCUCGUCUUUUACAAAACCCAUCAAUUAGAGCACAAUAUGCAGUAGCUCCAGUUCAAUGCCCUUGUUUUCCAUCUCAUUCCACAUUUUCAAAGCCAUAUCAAUUUGAUUGCUUAUGCAAAACCCAUUAAUAAUGCUGGUGUACGUGACAACAUUAGGAGAGACUCCACCUUCACACAUUUCUCUGUAUACAGCCAGUGCAGAAUUAAUGUCACCCUCCUUGGUAUACCCAUUUAUAAUGCUAUUGUAACUAACACAUCCAGGAAUAAAACCCCUCGCAACAAUUUUCUUUAACAUAUCACUUGCCUCGGAUGUACGACCAGCUUUGCACAAGCCAUCGAUGACAAUGCCAACUGUGAAGCCUGUGGGAGAAAUCUUGGCAGCCACCAUAUCAUCAAAGACAUGCUCUACAUCACCGUUCUUGAAGUAGCCGUUUAUCAAGAUAUAUUAAGUCACAUCGUUUGGUUUCAAACCCCUUUUAAGCAUCUCCACAAAUACACUGCGUGCAUGCUCCAUAUUCCCUAUUCUGCAAUAGCCAUUUAUCUUGCUAUUGUAAGAUACUACAUUAGGUACCACACCUUUACACAUCAUUUUAUCCCAUAAACUACAAGCUUCACUUACUUUACCCUUCCCACAAAGCCAUGAUAAGAUAUUAUUAUAUGAGAAAACAUUAGCAACACCACACUCAACAACCUCAUCAAACAAGUUAGACGCAUUUCCAAAUGACCGAUAUUUCAAAAAUCCUCAUAGCAAAUGAUUUACAAUGAAGACAUCAGGAAAAAUAUCCAUGUCUUUCAUUUGCGUGUAAAGCUCAUAAGCCUUUUCCAUGUUCCCAUUCUUACAGCAGUAUUCUAUAAGAAUUGCAUACGUAACCCUGUUUGGAGUAAGUCCAUCCUCUAUAAUCAUAAUGAACAAACCCAAAGCACUCUCCAAAUUCCCUUGCACACAAUAACCCUUCAUCAAGCUUGUAGCAGCAACCAAAUUAACUGGGUACCCACAACUUACCAUACCAUCCUUAAUCCUUAUGGCUUCAACCAUAUUCCUCUGCUUCACACAAGCCGUGAUGACACUGCUAAACGUGACCACGGAAGGAACCCACCCCAUUUCUCUCAUUUCAUCCAACAACUCCAAAGCCAAACACGAAUUGGGUUUCUUACAAAAAGCUUCAAUAGCAACACUAUAGGAUGCUGCGUCAAGUUCUACCUCUCUUGCCCUCGCCUCUCGAAAGUACUCCUCUGCGUCAUCCGGCUUCCCCUGCUUCAAACAACCACGCAUCAUCACGUGUAGAGUGACACGAUCACCUCCAAUUCCUCUCAAAGCCAUUUUAUCAUACACCUCUCGUGCUUCCCCCAUCAUAUUUCUCCUAACCAAUUCUGUUAAAAGAAUAUUUACAUACGUAACACAAGGACACAUCUCAAGCUCCAGAGUUCUACUAAAGCAAUCAAUGGCACAUUCGAUUCGAUUGGCUCUAACAUAAUUGUUCAAUAAAUAGCCAAAAACCUGAGAUUCUAGUUCAAAAUCAAACCGUUUGGCGCAGUCCACCAAGUGAUGGACAAAGACGCCCGAAUUGCCGGAAACGUACUGGUUAAGCAACAUCUUAGCACGCCUGUGAGUCUUCGGAUUGCCCAUCAAAAUGUGAAGCAACACACAAACGGCAUCGACACCUCUGACAAAACCUCGCUCCCUCUCACCCCAUUUGAAGUAAUUUACUGCCGAAUUGGGCUUGCUUUUGUGGCUAAGAAGAGUGCUGAUCACACUGGUUUGUGUUAAUUCCGAGUCUUCAGAAACUGGGGCGGCGAACUCGCCCUGAUUGGGGUCUGAUGCAACUGGGUUUUCCUGAAAUUCGAUUUCUCAUGUGGGUUUCUCGGGAAAAUCAGAUUUUGAUGUGAUUUUCUCGUAAAAAUCUGUGCUUGGAUUGGAAUUCCCGGAAAAUGGCGGCGAUUCUGAAUGGGGUGUUGGAGAGGAAUUUAGGGUUUAAGAAAGGAAGACGACGUAGUACAGGGAGUGGCGAGGAGUGGAGGGACUUCAUUGUUUGGGGUCCUUUGCUGCAGAAGAAGAAAUUGAAGAAACCCUGAUGGAGAUCAAAGGCUUCGGCUUGGUGGCAUAGUGAUGAAGCGAGGAAGGGGAUGACAACAGAGGCUGCGGCGCGAGCUUUGGCCAUUUACGGUUUUACCCCCUUGAGAUAAAAUUCAAAUCCCCAAAUACAUAUUAAGGAUAUUAAUUGUUUGAUAGGCAAAUCAGAAAAUGGCGCUUAACAAAAAAUUACCACAUAAUUAUUUAUUCAUACAUAAGUGAAAUGUUAACUUCGAUUUUCGUAGAUGGUGAGUUUUAUACCAUCUAAUUCUAGUGUGUCACAGCCCGUCCCAGAAUUACUUAAUACCGAGGACGUGAAAUUACAGAAACGCCCUUAAACGGGAUUAAGGUGCGUAAUUUUGACAUUUGUUUUACUUUAAGAUCCUAAACUAGGGUUAGAAUUAUAUAUUUGUAUGUGUUAAUAUUAUAUGGGUUAAGGUAGGGCCUUAUACCCUAAAUCCCUCCCCAAAAUCCGUUUUGUUGUCUCUCUCUCAUCUCCCUAGUCACUCUCUCUCUCUUAUUCUUCAGAAAACACUCUCUCACUCUCUCUCUUACUCUCAUUCUCUCUCAAACUCUCGGACAAACACCCAAGACCUUGAAAACUUCACAAGUUAAGGUUGAGGAAGGUAGCAUCGUGUUCGUAAGGACCAUACGAACACAUUGAUAUUGUUUUCAGGUAAGAUUUCCCACGAUUCCAUGUAGAAAACUUAAGCUCCGAGAUUGCUACUGUUCAUGAACUUAAAUUUGGUUGUGUUUUAGGUUAAACAAAGAUCACCACGAGUCUUAGGAAGUCCCAAGGAGGCUCGGAGUGCCUCGUUUGAACAAAAUGGACGUCGGGAUCGUCGGGUUCGAGUUUGGCCGAAAUUGAGGAAUUUUGGAAGGUAUGAUCUCGUAGUUUUUAGGCCUUAAAACCCUUCCAACGUGAUAGUACAUGUUAAAUGCUUCAUUUUGGUGUAAAAUUCGAAGAAAUUGGACGAAAAACGAAGGAGAAUAGUGGAUUUGAAAAUUUUCCAGAAACCGGCGACCGGCGACUCGCCGGAGAAGACAGGGAAUCUUCCGUCAAGUUUGACGGAAUAUUCCGACGCCGUUAGUUAACUUUAACGGAAACCGUUAGUUUUUAACGGAAUAUUCCGGGAAUAUUCCUAACGCCGUUCACUGUACCGUCAGUGUGCCUGGCACGUGGCUGCGCGUGGGCCGCGCGUAGGUCCGUGCCACGUCAGGCGCGUGGGGGCGCGUGGAGCAUCCAAAAAUUAUUUUAAAAAUAUGGGGAUGAUCCUGAGGUUGUGUAGGUCACUGUGGUAUAUUCAUAUACCCAAUUUGAGCAUCGUAUGAAGAAUUUAUUACCUAGUUGGUUUAGGUGCGUUUAAUGUGCGUUAAAUGAUUGUUUUAAGUUAUUUCACUUCUAGGUGGAACUUUUAACGAGGACGAGCACAUCCAGGGGCGUCAAGGGGGUUACGACCCGGCGACAUACCAGUGAGUGGGCAUUGCUUUCUAUAUAUAUACCUAUAUACUCGAUUUCCCCAGAAAUCAAAUUUAAAUGAAAAAUAUAUUGAAAUGAAAUGAAAUAUGAUGUGAUUGCCAUGCAUAGAAUGUUAUGGAUAUUAUGAACUGUCGUAUGAUGCAUAUAUGUAUGAUGGUGCUGUGGACGCACAGGUAAGUAUUUAAUUACUGUUAUGUUGAGGAUGAUGAUAUAUUGAGCUCAUAUCCUGCACCAUGGUUUAGUGCUUAUAGUAUUCACCGCAUCGCACGCUCGCCUUGGAUCCAAGUAGAUGCUGGUCGUACAGUCCACGCGGAGUGGGUACGACGGGCCAGUCGUAGAAUGUUAGUGAGAUUAUGACUGGUGGGUGACCUUAGGUUAUUGUAUACAGAUGAUUGAUGAGAGAAGCACUUGAGCGAAUAUUACCAUGAGUCGUUCAGACUGCAUUAGGUGGUUCCGACUUAUGUGCAGAAGGCCGGACAGGUCACGCGGAGUGACUCCGGCAGAGAGUGAGAUUGAUAGAUGUUGAGCUCUAGGUUCAAUCGUUCAGGACUAUUAGAGGGCCUCCGAUUGAUUAUUUCUUUUACCUGAUUUAUAUUAUGUCAAUGCAUUCAUACUAAACUGCUGAAUUUGGCAUGGUACAUUCUUUAUUGAAUCUGCUAUAAGAUUGUUGAUCGAGACAGUUGAGAUAUAUAUGCUAUAUACUAUUUUUCUGGGAAAGUAUACAGGUUUUCCAAAAAGGGGUUAUAAAUGUGGAUUUAUGAAAUGUUUUGGAAAAGCUUUAUUUUUCGCCCACUCACGUUUUCUGUUUUUCGCCCCUCCAGGUUCUAGUUGAUAGUUGAGGCGUUGGUGGCCUACGAGGACUGCUUCGGCGUUCUGACAGACUAAAUAAAUGUAGGAUUCACCCGAGGGUGUUGUAAAAUAGUUAUGGUCCUACUUGACUGCACCUAGACGCUUAUGCUCUGUUUAUGUGUGUUUAGUACACUCUUAUGCACAUAGAAUGCUAGGUUGUAAAUAACUGCAAUUAGUGGUUUUCGUUGACUCGUAUUUUAUUAUUAAAUCGUUUCCGCUUGCGUUAUGGUUACGUCACACUCACGUGACGGCCAGCACGUUCUAGUCUUCGGGUUAGGGUGUGUCAGUUUGGUAUCAGAGCAUAGGUUGCAGUCCUGUAUAACUAGUGAUUUUACUUAUUAAUUUUUGGAUGUUUUCUGUCAGAAUUAUGCCGCCUCGUAGAGAUCCUCGCCGUGCUGCUGAGCCUAAUUUCCCCGAUAUAACUCAGCUAGGGGCAUCAAUGGCUCAAGCUUUUCAGGCUAAUAUCCGUCCUCCUCAGAGAACACCUGUAGAGACGAUGUAUAAUCUGAAAUUGGAAACCUUUGAGGGAAAUGAAGGUUAUGAAGGGGCAGAAAAGUGGUUGGAUCGGAUUGAGCAGACCUUUCAAGUGAUGCAAAGUCAAGGAAACCUGCCAGCUAAUAGAUGGGUGGAGACCACCACCUGGUUUUUGGGCCGUGAGCCAGCGGCGUGGUGGAUAAAUCAGUCGAGGCACAUGGCACCUGAAAGGACAGCCGAAUGGGAGGUAUUUAAGGAAAAUUUUAUGAAGAGAUUUGUUCCUCCGGAAUAUAUAGAUCGCAAGAAACAGGAAUUCACCAGUCUGAAGCAGAGAAAUAUGUCCGCACAUGAGUACUACAGGAAGUUUACUGAUUUAUCCCGUUAUGAUUCUGAUUUAGCGGGUAAUCAAGCAGAAAUGCUUCGUCGUUUCAAGUUAGGAUCUAAGAAGAAGUACAGAACGUUUGCCAAUGCACUUCCCUGUGCCGAUUAUCAUGAGUAUUUUGAGAUUCUGGUCCGGAUGGAAGACUCUGAUAAUCUUCCGGACAGUGAGGAUGAAGAGGAUAAGGGUAAUGGUCAGAAGAAAAAUGAGAAAGGUAAAGGUGUUUCCAUUCCAGGACCUCGUCAGAUGCAGAAUUUUAAGAAGAGUGGAAUGAGUUCUAGUUCUUCCAGUGGUGGAUUUAGUGCCACAGGUCCGAGGAGAGGAGGUGGUAGGUUUGGUAAUGGACCUAGAUUUUCUGGUCAGAGAGGCUUUGGUGGUACUGGUAGUUCGGGUUCUCCGUUAUGUCGCCGUUGUAAUUUCCGACAUUAUGGGGAAUGUAGGAGAAUCAGUGGUGCAUGCUUUACAUGUGGUCAGACAGGACAUAGAGCUAUGAAUUGUCCCCAGAAUCAGCAGAGGCCCCAGCAGCCUGUUAGGCCAACACCAGCACCGACUCAACAGAACUUUAAUUCAGGCAGUUAUGGCCAGGUUGGUCGUGGUGGUGCUUAUCAUUAUCAGGGUGAUGCUACUCCAUAUGCUCCAGGACAGUAUCACUAUUCCCAGGAUCCUUAUUCUCAGAGUGGAUAUUCUCAGGAUCAGGGAGGUUAUACUUCAUAUCCGUCUAUGCCAGCUAGCGGAUCUCAGUGGUAUCAGGGGGGUCAGCCCCAACAGAGCGGAGUUGCUGCUAGCAGUGCAGGGUCGUUUAGGCCGCCUGCCCAGACAGGUCAAGGAAGUAUUCAUCAGGGACGAGGUAAUCAGAGUGGCAGAUGUCGUGGAGGACGACAGCCAGCUCAGGGACGUGUUAACCACAUAUCGCUGCAAGAUGCUCAGAACCAUCCAGACUUGAUUAUGGGUACGUUGAAUGUUCUUGGUCAUUUUGCUAGAGUCUUGAUUGAUUGUGGUGCUACACACUCUGUGAUUUCUCAUACAUUUGCUCAAAUGACACAACCUCAUCCUUCACCUCUAGGGUUUGAUUUAGAGUUUGCUAUGCCUAGAGGGGAUAAAUGUUAUGUUGAUAGUUUUUACUCUGGGUGUCCAGUGAUGGUAGAUAAUGUCAUUAUGCCUGCUAAUCUUAUCCCGUUAGACAUCGUGGAUUUUGAUGUGAUUUUAGGGGCGGAUUGGUUGCAUUAUAAUCGCGCCCAUAUAGAUUGUUACGGGAAAUCAGUUACUUUUCUUCGUCCUGGACUACCUGAGGUUACAUUUGUGGGUGAAAGAAAUGGGGUGAGGCAUGGUGUUAUUUCAGCCAUAAGGGCAAAGAAGUUGUUAUCCAAGGGUUGUCAGGGAUACUUGGCACAUGUGGUGUUAAAUGAUGUUGAUUCCGGUAGUGUGGAGGAAGUCGGAGUAGUCAGACACUAUCCUGAUGUAUUUCCAGAUGAUUUACCUGGGUUGCCUCCAGAUAGAGAUGUGGAAUUUUCGAUUGAUUUACUUCCAGGUACGAACCCUAUCUCUUUGACUCCUUAUAGAAUGGCACCAUCGGAAUUAAGAGAGUUGAAAAUUCAAUUGCAAGAGUUAAUUGAUAAAGGUUUCAUUCAGCCUAGUUCUUCACCGUGGGGAGCUCCGGUGUUGUUUGUAAGAAAGAAAGAUGGAACUUUGAGAUUGUGCAUUGAUUACAGGCAAUUGAAUCGGGUGACGAUUAAAAACCGUUAUCCCUUGCCUCGUAUAGAUGAUUUGUUUGAUCAGCUCAAAGGUGCCUGUGUGUUUUCUAAGAUCGAUUUGAGGUCUGGGUAUUAUCAAUUAAAGAUUAAAGAUGAGGAUGUUCAUAAAACAGCUUUCAGGACUCGUUAUGGGCAUUAUGAGUUUUUGGUGAUGCCAUUUGGAUUAACGAACGCUCCUGCAGCUUUCAUGAGAUUGAUGAAUGAAGUAUUCCAGGAAUAUCUUGACAAGUUUGUUAUUGUUUUUAUUGAUGACAUCCUGGUAUAUUCUAAGUCGAAAUCAGACCAUAUUCGACAUCUUAACUUGGUGUUAAGGAAAUUGAGGGAACACCGAUUAUAUGCCAAAUUUAGUAAAUGUGAAUUUUGGCUGGAUCAAGUGGCAUUUUUGGGACAUGUGGUAUCAGCUCAGGGAAUUCAAGUGGAUCCUCAAAAGAUAGCAGCAGUGGAAAAUUGGGAACAACCUCGAACGGUCACUGAGGUGCGGAGUUUUCUUGGUUUGGCAGGUUAUUAUAGACGGUUUGUUCAAGACUUUUCUAUGAUUGCCUUGCCAUUAACGAAGUUAACCAGGAAGGAUGUUAAGUUUGAAUGGGAUGAAAGUUGUGAGCAAAGUUUCCAGCAGUUGAAGUAUUGCCUUACUCAUGCACCUGUGUUAGUACUUCCUGAUGAUGAUGGUAACUUCGAGAUCUAUAGUGAUGCUUCUUUGAAUGGUUUGGGUUGUGUUUUGAUGCAGCAUAGUAGAGUGAUUGCCUAUGCUUCUAGGCAGUUGAAGACUCAUGAAAGAAACUAUCCGACUCACGAUCUUGAGUUAGCAGCUAUUGUGUUUGCUUUGAAGAUCUGGAGACAUUAUCUCUAUGGCGAGAAAUGUAAGAUCUUUACAGAUCAUAAAAGCCUUAAGUACCUUUUCACUUAGCAUGAUCUUAAUCUUCGUCAGAGAAGAUGGUUGGAAUUGUUAAGUGAUUAUGAUUGCACGAUUGAGUACCAUCCGGGUCGUGCAAAUGUGGUAGCUGAUGCUCUGAGUAGAAAACCUCAAGGGCGACUUAAUGCUUUGUAUGCCAGUCGUGUUUCUCUUCUUGCAGAGUUGAGAUCUACUGGAGUAGAGUUAGAAUUGGAAGAGCAAAGUGAAGCUUUUCUUGCCAAUUUUCAAGUCAAGCCAAUUUUAAUUGAUCGGGUGCUUACAGCUCAAUCGUUGGAUGAAGAAAUUCAAGAAUUGAUCAGUUUAAGAAAGGAAAGCUAAGCCCCAGGUACAUUGGACCUUAUGAGAUCACUGAGAGGAUUGGUGAAGUUGCUUACAGGUUGGAGCUACCUCCAGAGUUGUCUAAGGUACAUAAUGUGUUCCAUGUCUCGAUGCUUCGACAUUAUGUUUCAGAUCCUUCACAUGUGAUUCCUCCUCAACCAUUGGAAAUUAAUCCGGACUUGACGUACGAUGAGGAACCAGUGACUAUACUGGAUUGGAAAGAUAAAACUUUGAGGAAUAAGACCGUGAACUUGGUAAAAGUAUUGUGGAGAAACCAUUCAGCGGAAGAAGCUACAUGGGAGACAGAAGAACGGAUGAGAGAUAUGUAUCCGAGGCUAUUUUAUGAGUAUUGAGGGUUUGGUUGGUGACUGGAAUUUCGGGGACGAAAUUCUAUAAGGAGGGGAGAUUGUCACAGCCCGUCCCAGAAUUACUUAAUACCGAGGACGUGAAAUUACAGAAACGCCCUUAAACGGGAUUAAGGUGCGUAAUUUUGACAUUUGUUUUACUUUAAGAUCCUAAACUAGGGUUAGAAUUAUAUAUUUGUAUGUGUUAAUAUUAUAUGGGUUAAGGUAGGGCCUUAUACCCUAAAUCCCUCCCCAAAACCCGUUUUGUUGUCUCUCUCUCAUCUCCCUAGUCACUCUCUCUCUCUUAUUCUUCAGAAAACACUCUCUCACUCUCUCUCUUACUCUCAUUCUCUCUCAAACUCUCGGACAAACACCCAAGACCUUGAAAACUUCACAAGUUAAGGUUGAGGAAGGUAGCAUCGUGUUCGUAAGGACCAUACGAACACAUUGAUAUUGUUUUCAGGUAAGAUUUCCCACGAUUCCAUGUAGAAAACUUAAGCUCCGAGAUUGCUACUGUUCAUGAACUUAAAUUUGGUUGUGUUUUAGGUUAAACAAAGAUCACCACGAGUCUUAGGAAGUCCCAAGGAGGCUCGGAGUGCCUCAUUUGAACAAAAUGGACGUCGGGAUCGUCGGGUUCGAGUUUGGCCGAAAUUGAGGAAUUUUGGAAGGUAUGAUCUCGUAGUUUUUAGGCCUUAAAACCCUUCCAACGUGAUAAUGCUUCAUUUUGGUGUAAAAUUCGAAGAAAUUGGACGAAAAACGAAGGAGAAUAGUGGAUUUGAAAAUUUUCCAGAAACCGGCGACCGGCGACUCGCCGGAGAAGACAGGGAAUCUUCCGUCAAGUUUGACGGAAUAUUCCGACGCCGUUAGUUAACUUUAACGGAAACCGUUAGUUUUUAACGGAAUAUUCCGGGAAUAUUCCUAACGCCGUUCACUGUACCGUCAGUGUGCCUGGCACGUGGCUGCGCGUGGGCCGCGCGUAGGUCCGUGCCACGUCAGGCGCGUGGGGGCGCGUGGAGCAUCCAAAAAUUAUUUUAAAAAUAUGGGGAUGAUCCUGAGGUUGUGUAGGUCACUGUGGUAUAUUCAUAUACCCAAUUUGAGCAUCGUAUGAAGAAUUUAUUACCUAGUUGGUUUAGGUGCGUUUAAUGUGCGUUAAAUGAUUGUUUUAAGUUAUUUCACUUCUAGGUGGAACUUUUAACGAGGACGAGCACAUCCAGGGCGUCAAGGGGGUUACGACCCGGCGACAUACCAGUGAGUGGGCAUUGCUUUCUAUAUAUAUACUUAUAUACUCGAUUUCCCCAGAAAUCAAAUUUAAAUGAAAAAUAUAUUGAAAUGAAAUGAAAUAUGAUGUGAUUGCCAUGCAUAGAAUGUUAUGGAUAUUAUGAACUGUCGUAUGAUGCAUAUAUGUAUGAUGGUGCUGUGGACGCACAGGUAAGUAUUUAAUUACUGUUAUGUUGAGGAUGAUGAUAUAUUGAGCUCAUAUCCUGCACCAUGGUUUAGUGCUUAUAGUAUUCACCGCAUCGCAACGCUCGCCUUGGAUCCAAGUAGAUGCUGGUCGUACAGUCCACGCGGAGUGGGUACGACGGGCCAGUCGUAGAAUGUUUAGUGAGAUUAUGACUGGUGGGUGACCUUAGGUUAUUGUAUACAGAUGAUUGAUGAGAGAAGCACUUGAGCGAAUAUUACCAUGAGUCGUUCAGACUGCAUUAGGUGGUUCCGACUUAUGUGCAGAAGGCCGGACAGGUCACGCGGAGUGACUCCGGCAGAGAGUGAGAUUGAUAGAUGUUGAGCUCUAGGUUCAAUCGUUCAGGACUAUUAGAGGGCCUCCGAUUGAUUAUUUCUUUUACCUGAUUUAUAUUAUGUCAAUGCAUUCAUACUAAACUGCUGAAUUUGGCAUGGUACAUUCUUUAUUGAAUCUGCUAUAAGAUUGUUGAUCGAGACAGUUGAGAUAUAUAUGCUAUAUACUAUUUUUCUGGGAAAGUAUACAGGUUUUCCAAAAAGGGGUUAUAAAUGUGGAUUUAUGAAAUGUUUUGGAAAAGCUUUAUUUUUCGCCCACUCACGUUUUCUGUUUUUCGCCCCUCCAGGUUCUAGUUGAUAGUUGAGGCGUUGGUGGCCUACGAGGACUGCUUCGGCGUUCUGACAGACUAAAUAAAUGUAGGAUUCACCCGAGGGUGUUGUAAAAUAGUUAUGGUCCUACUUGACUGCACCUAGACGCUUAUGCUCUGUUUAUGUGUGUUUAGUACACUCUUAUGCACAUAGAAUGCUAGGUUGUAAAUAACUGCAAUUAGUGGUUUUCGUUGACUCGUAUUUUAUUAUUAAAUCGUUUCCGCUUGCGUUAUGGUUACGUCACACUCACGUGACGGGCAGCACGUCCUAGUCUUCGGGUUAGGGUGUGUCAUAGUGACUAAAAAUUAUAUGACUUAAAAAUACUGGAACACUAUUAUAUUCUAUAGAAAAAGAUAUAAACUUGAUGUGAAAACAUCAGACUAACUUGACAUACUUAUUUUAGUCACAUUUGCACCGCUUCUCAACUCAUAUAUUUUGUUUACUAAAUAAUGUGAGUGUUUGUUCUUAUCCAACGUCUUUAAAUUUAUUUUAGAAGAAAUUUGUAAUUGAAGUGGUUAAGAGUAUUUACUUGUAAACCUAUUUGUUUCUCCCAUUGCAACAAAUAUUGGGAGGAGAAAAUCAAACGCAUAACCUCUAAACUACUUUUAGUACAAUACUCUUUUCAUUAUUUUAAAUUUGCUACUCCUGAGAGUGUAGUUUAGUUUUUCUAAGCAUACCUUCAUAGGCACUGCAGAAGUCAAGAGUCAAGGAACUAGACCUUUGUAAGUUCAAAGGUCUCAUCAAAACCUCAAUCCAUCAUGCCAAAAUGACGAGAUUUUGCCCUAUCAUCAGGAACAUAUCCCCGUACGAGUGUCUCACUCAUCAUGUGACCUUAUAAUAUAUUAACAUGUCUGUAUAUUUCCAGUGAACCUAAAAGAGCGAUAGCAAACCAGAUGUAAGCUAAUACUUUUUUUUGAAGAACUUGAUUAGCAACUGUAUUGGUCAUCAAUACCAUGUUCUAAAUCAAUUAGCAAAGCCUACUCAAUAAAGAAAAUAGAUUGCUAAGAAUUUACAUUUGAAACUAAUAGUGCAGUUUCCUGAAUGGAUGGGAAAUCAAGCCUCAUCACCAUCGCUUCCGCCAAUCUGAGCUUCGAGAGCGAUUGAGUAGUUGCUUCCAUCAGGACCGAGAAUCUGGAAUCUGCUCAAGAACACAGAAAAUCACUCUAAAAGCUUUUAAUUCAGCAACCACAGACGUCGAUUUGGUUUUACCUCUCAAGGAUACACUUUCCUUCCUUGUACUUCUGGGAUUUCUCAUGCGCCGCCUCCUGAAAUCGAUGACCAAAAUAAAACUCUCAUUCAGCUGUCACUUUGAUGCAAGUACUGCAAAUACCGAAAACAAAUAAAGCAUCGUUUUGAAGAAAAGAUAUCCUUACAUAUUUCCAUCCCACAUUUGAUCCACACGAAACACAAAAUAUGUCAGCAACGGUAUGCAAUCCUGUUAUCAUGAUCCGCUCUUCUUUCUCUCCAAGUGUGACAUUUACGCUGCCAUACAUUGGGGAAACGAAGGGUUAACUCAGCAUUCAUAUGUGUAAGCUGCACUUGAUGCAGUUAUGAAUAAGCCUUCUUCAUAGGAUUCAAGUGAACGAAAAUGCGUUUAUGAGACAAAUGCAUUAAUUAGUGAAUUUUGGGAGAACAAUACUCCAAAAUAGAUUUGCUAUGCUGUCACUGAUUUCAUUAAUUCUAUUUCUUUUGCCAUCCUCAAAGUUAAGCUUUUCAAAAUUCAUCAACCGGAAUGAAUCCUCUGGCCUAUAUCAGACCGUGUUCGGUUUGGUGCUUCAAGUCAUUUCAUAUCGGUGGACAAGAAACGAUACAUGCACAUAGGAUGGCCAAGUUUUUUGUGGCAAGUGAGACCAAUAUAAACUCACAUGCUCGUAACCCUAAAACUGAUAUACAAGCAUCCAUAGCUAUGACUGAAUCUAUUCAAAUUUUCAACCGUAAAAUAGUAUUACACUUACACUUUAUCGAAAAGAUAAGCCUUCCCAUGCCUGGAGUGAAAAGACUGGAACAAAAACAGAAGCAAAUCAAGGGGUUAGAAUGUCACUUAUCAAUCCUAAAUUCCUGAUAUCAAACAUACACCAUACUGUAUCGCUUUAGUUUCCAUAUGAUCAGCGUUCAAACCAACAGUAACACAAAUAACCAGGACAACAUUUUGGUCUCGAAUUAUAGUAGAGAACAGAGACGCAAGUUCCUAUCUAAUCUUCCAGCCAAAAUUUAACAAUUACACCAGGAAAGUGUAAAAUAGAUACCUUGGACGUAAUCUUAGCAGGAAUUGAAGACCUAAUUCUUCUCCAGCAAGUAAAGCAACAAUCUGUGUUCCUAGAAUUGCAUAAUUAAACCCGGAAUAUCAUCAUAGAGGGUUGCAGAUAAAGGUUCAAAAUCUUGAGCAUUUUGCGUAUCCGUUCAUCAAACGCGCAAGCCAUGAAGCCAAAGCUGAUUGUGAUGAGCCAUAAACAGAAUUAGGAAACGAAGGCCUGCACCAUGAAUAAAAGAAGGAACCCAGAAACAACCCAAUGUUUGAGCUUCCAAUCUCAACCAGUCUGAACAUGAACCAUCACAUUGUGCUACGGUAUAAAGGUAUCACAACUCCUCAAUAUCACAAACAAAACUCUCUAAACAAAACCUAAACCAACAAUUUACGUAUCACAACUCCUCAAUAUCUAAUGAUUAGACCCCCUAUCUAUCACUUAUUGGAAUUUAGCUUAACAAACCCACACAAACUAAAUUCUUACGUCCACCACCGAUAAAUCUCUCAUCGAAAAUUCGCCACACAUUUACAUAUCACAACGAUGCAUCAUAAUUUCACAGAGUUCUUGAAUGUCCAGGUAGCGUGCAUUAUGCAAAUAAACAGUAAAAAUUCAUAACAAACAGAAUUACGGGGAAGGCGAUUUCGGACCUUAGAGAUUACGUCGUCGACAAGAGCGAGAUGGGUUCUGCAGUGCUUGCAGCUAUACAUGUUUUCCUCAAGAGUGAUCACAAACAGCCUUCCCAUUUCUCACAUACAAUUAAACUUUCUUAAUUCUUGAUUUUCUUUUCCCUACAAAAACACAAAGAUCGGCCGCCAUGUUAGAAAUUCAAGCAUUCCAAAAGAAACCCAGAGAUUACCUUCACCAAAACUUGAGAAAAAUCAACGUGAUAAAACCUGAAAAUUCCAAGAAAAAAAUAACGAAAAAAAAUGAAAUGAUACACAAUGCAGGAGUGCAUUUCCCAUAAUGUAGAUUUUAGAGAAAAGAUUAAUACCAAAAAAAAUCUCUUGUGUUGUGGUACAUUGUAUGUCUUUAUCACGCAAAUCUUAUUUUCACGAGUUUUGCGUAAUGUACUUAUUUUCGUCGCGGAAGCUGUUAAAUGCAGUAGUGGUAGUCUUUGAUUCCUCAUUAGGGUAAGCAAAAUGAAUGGAAAAGUUAGUAUCCUUCUUUGAAUUUGAUAUGCUACAUCUAGCGACCGUUAAUUAAUAAUCUUUGCAUCACUAUCGAAUUUGAUAUGCUACAUCUAGAGACUGUUAAUUAAUAAUCUUUGCAUCACUAUCGAAUGAUGUUCUUAAUUCCCAACAUAACAACUUAAACGUUAAAUUAUUUAAGAAGAUUUUUUUUUUAAUUUCUCUAAGGCCUAAACAGAUAAAUGUUUUUUGUGGUGAUAUAGUAUUCCGAAGUUAGGCCUGUUGAGAAAAAAAUUAGGAAUCAAACCCUCAUGGUGAAGUCUGUUAGGAUUCAUGCCCCAACAGACUUUACUACAAGAGUUUAAUUCCUAAAUUUUUCAAACCGGAGGCUAUCUUCCGAAUACCUUAUCAAUUAUCAUCACAGAGACCGUUUAUUCCGUUAAGCCGUUCUUUAAUUGUAUGAACCAACAACUCCCCAAAUUACAAGAAAUUGUAUUUUAAUAUUAUUUUUAUACGCGUGAUAUUUGACUCCGAACUGUAAAAAGAGGAGGGAAGAGAGAUUCAAACUCAACUAUUUUUUUUUUUUUAAAACAAACAAUAUUAGUUACACUAAAAAAAAGUAUGAACUUAAUCUCACAAUGAGUUAAGAAUAAUAUGGUUCAAAUUCGUCUUUGACAUGAUUCAAACUCAACUAUUAAAAGUGCAAUCUGCUCGAUAAUGUGACUACAUCCACAUGCAUUUCGUUAUAAUAUUUUACAAAUAAAUAAGUUUUGCACAGUUUAAAAAGCUUUCAGAAGAAAAAAAAAAAUCCCUCUACUAUUGUGGGAAAAAGAAAGAAAAGGAAGAAUCUCGCGGCCUAUUGUUCGGUUAAAAAAACUUGUCGCUAAUAGGAAAACGCCACGGUAGAAAGUAAGGACGCAUUAUUUGUGGUGGGGGGGGGGGGCGCCGUGCCACGAAACCGAAUGAGAUUCAGAUUUGGUUGGAGGACGGAAAGAAAGUAAUUCACCAAUCCCUUUCACGAGAAGGUGCCAAAGGACACACGAAAGAAACGUUUCACUCAUAGUGACUAGACCAAAGCAAAAAAGUCAAUCCAAUCCAACUAGGUUAUGUGUUCGACUGUAGUAUUACCUGACUAUUCACGUUGUGAUAAGAAAGACGAUCCAUGAUUGUUUUUAGAACCCAAUUGUCCCACAUCAUUUAGUAUAUCUUAAAGGCGUUUCAGAGCUUUUGCGUACCUUUCCCUUCCAAGCCGAUUUUUAGGGGCAAUUUCUACUCUUAAAACAUUGUAUUAGAGCUUGGUUUCACCACGCAAUCGAGCGCAACUCCAUAGAAGGAAAUGAUAAAUUUUUUCAGUGUGUCUGGAACAUGUGGUGAAACACCACAUGUCAUUACAUAAGUGAAGGAAGGUUUUAUUUUUCAAGAAUCCCACUACUUUUAUAAUAACAUGUGGUGUAUCAUCCCGUAUUACGAGUACGUGAAAAAUUUGUAGAUGGGACCGCCUCAAAGGAAGGAAAGGGCUCCUCUAGGUCAGUGUAGAAAGCAAAACUUCACCAAACCUCUAAGGACGCGUUUACUAAUCCGUAAUCAAAUUGAGAGGAAUUGAAUUGAGGAGGAAUAGAAAUGAGGGAAAAUCAGAAUCAAAUUCCUUUUGAAGUUGUUUACUAAAACUGUUUGGAAUCGGAGUAGAAAUAACAUUGAUCUAUAUAACUGUUUACUAAUUCACAUGAAUCGGAAUGAAAACUAUUGUGAUUACUAAAAUACCCCUAGUUUAAUUAAUAAAUGAAAAAUAAAUGAAGUUUUUAUUGAAUAAAAAAUUGGAUGCGAUCCCCUAUAGAUGGUUUCACAAAACACAUAUUCUUAUUAACUUGAUGACCAGCGGACAAGGUUUAGCACAAGACAUUAACUAGGUAGAGAACCAAACAAGAGCUAAGACAAAGAACAUUGAUGAGCUGAUGGCUAAACCUCGAGGAGGGCCGGAAGUUGAAACGGGCACCAUUUGAUCUUCCUUGAUUAAUAACACUCCAAUGAAAGCGUGCCUCCGUGACGUGUGGUCAAAAUAUAAAGGGUCCAGAAGGAAAAGUAUACGUUCUCCCGUUCAAAAGAGGGGAUGCACGAGUAAUGUCCAACUAUGAAGAUGAAAUCGUGCCGUGCGGUGUUAUUCUCUCAACAGCACCCAUUCUCUGAGGAGGCCACAAAAUGUGGGUAACCCUUCCUUCAACUAAACCAAGAGGAAUCUGCCAACAACAGCUUGUUUAAGUUAGCCAAAGAAACAGAAGUUUAGAAGGAAGCCAAAAGUAGCCACAUUUUCAAAUUAUUUUGCACAACAUCAAUUCUGAUGAGGACAACUGAACUGAAAGCAACAUCUGAAACAAUGUCUUAGAAUACAUCAAGCAUUAUAUUCUAUCAAAGUUUUGCAAUGACAACAAAAUCAUCUAGCAGAAAUUUAGAAGGAUGCCAAAAGUAGCCACAUUUUCAAAUUAUUUUGCACAAUAUCAAUUCUGAUGCAGACAACUGAACCGAACAAAGCAUGUUCAUAAGCAAUGUCCGAAACAAAGUCUUAGAUUACGUCAAGCAUUAGAUUCUAUCAAUGUUUUCCAACGACAACAAAAUUACCUAGCAUAACAAUGAUUGCAAACUUUUUCCAAAAUGCCAAACUAAUUAUCUAUAUAGCAUUUCAAAUUUAUCGUGUCCUAGAAAAACAUUUUGUCUCAUUUACGAGCCACAAGCUAACGGAAUAGAAAAACGAUUUCCAUCCUACUCCGCAUUCAACUUUUCAGAAUAUAAACAAACAAUAAGUGAUUUGCCAUAAAAAAUACAAAAGUAAAUUCAAAUACCUAGUCAGCUUAUUGUUUCGUAUCUUUGGGCACCAAAUCAAUAUAAUUAAGGCCACGAUGAUAAAUUAUACUAUCGUUAAACUAUUUAUUUCUCUGGUGUACAAACUUAGCAGUAAGGUAGACUUACUGGUCCAAACGAUCUUGAAUCCAGGCUAGAAGAUGAAUUGUCUCCCUCAACCCAACAAUGUCCUUCUGUAAUUUUCACCACACAUAGGAAUGACGCGUUCCAAUCCACUCACCAGGUAAGGCAGUUAUUCUCUUUAUGUGACUCUCCUUGUGGUUACUUGGGGAGCUGCAGAAUGUUCCAUCAGGUUUCUUAUUAUAAUUCACUAGGCACAAAUAGUACUCGAGUGUUGUUAAGGGAAAAAAUUACCGGAAAACUACCACGUCACCAUGCGAGAACUUGUAGUUUUGAAGACAUUGUUUCUCGACCAAAACAUUGUCAUCUGCAACCGAAUCACAAUCAGACCACUAAACAAACCAUCACAUUGCACAACACAAAAAUCUUAGUGAGACGUCAUUCAAUAUACCAACUAGUUGGCAAGCCCAUCAAAGAAGUCGCUCCAUGGUUUAACGUAGGCGACAUAGAGGAACCCCGCACCAGAGCAACACUCGCAAAUCGAUCCGAAACAUAUACACCUAUAAUCCCAGAUGUGAAAAACUUGUUGGCAAAAUUCCACAAACCACUCCGAGUUCCCAUGUCCUGUUUUUUUUCCCUAAAUACUCACAUUUCAUGUGCAAAAUGCAGCCAUCUGUAACAAUUAUCAUCAAUUUUACCGAAAAUAAAAUCAAAUCAAAUGCGCAAUUUCGAUAAAGUAAGAAGAUUUAUAUAAGCAAAAACAGUAACCAAUCUCUCAGAGGCAAACAAUCAAACACCUGGUGAGCUUAAUGGACAAGAGGGAAAGAGAGUAGGUUACCAUUUGGGAAUAUUUCGGAUUAGCUGUCGAAGAAGCUUCCUUCACCGACGGGAGUCUUCGUUAAUGGAGGUAAGGCGGGAGGAGGUAGGUCGUGUACCGCCGUCGCGGAGUCGUGAUUUGGAGGAGAAGCAAAGUCUGGAUUAUAUUUCGGCUUUGGAGCUAUAUCUCAGAUGCUUUUUGCUCAAGGAAUUUGAAUUGGGUGACAAGCAUUAAUAAAAAAAUAAAUAAAUAAAUAAAUGUAUAAAUAGGAUCACCUAUAUAAAUUUUACUAAUUUGGACCCCUACAAGUUGCUUAAAGAGUAAUCAAAGCCCACCACUCCCAUCAGAGUUGAAAAUCUAACGAAAAUGACAUUUUUAUUCUAAAUGUCAAUUUUGAUACUAUUUACUUACAACAUUCUUUUGCCUUUUUUUUAAUUAAAAUUCAAAGUUUUCAAACCAUUUUCAUUUUUUUUUUCUUUUGAUUUAUUUAUUUUUAUUACAAAAGGACAAGUUAAAUUAUUCUAAUUCAUAUGGAGUGAGAUUAUUAUUUGAUAUAUUCUCGAACUUGAGUGAAAAGGGUAGACACGCUAUUAUAACUAAUUGGUUUAACCUGAAUAUGCUGUGUAUGUUUUUUCUUUGAUUAAAUCCGUAAUUUUUCACUUAGAUAAGUGUAAUUUGAUUUUAUUUACCCAUAAAAAAAAAUAAAUAAAUCUUAUAAUCGAUCAAUUUGUUAAAUGAAAAUUUUCUUAACUAUGGGCCAUACAAUUAUGUUUUAUUUUCAAUCAAGUCCUAAAGUGUGGUUUCAUUUGCGAUAAGUUAUAUGCCUUAAUAUUCACUUAAUAUUAAAUUUUAGUGACAUUAUUUUUCCUUGCAAGUAAUAAGUUAAGUUUAAACGCUCUUGAAUAACGAGUUCAAUACCUAUUUAUUUAUUUAUUUAUACUAUCGUAACAAAAACUCGUUACACUAUUCUCUCUCACUACUUAAGUUACCCAAAUUUUUAACUUGAGAUAAAUUGUUGGGAAAUUUUAUUUGAACCCAUCUAACUUCUUUGUACACCCAACUUACUCUCUUCACCCAUAUUGUUUUUUAUUAAAGAAUUAAUAUCUCUUUAAACUGUAGGUAUUUAUUCUUGUAUCUCCAUGCUACUUGAAUGCAUCUUUCUGCAAGGCCUCUCCAGUAAGGUGACUCAUACCUGCCAUAAAAACCAAACUUCAACAUCAAUGUUCUGUCAUAAACCAUUCCCACAUGCAUCCUAGACGAUUUCUUGCAGACCACGUAUGCAUAUGUCACCAGUCUUCAAUCGUGUAUGCAUACAUGAGAUAUGAAUAGCUUGAAUAAAAUAAACCUUAUGGCUCCUGGAACACGUGGUUUGCGCAAGAAUCUGGAGAAAACAUUGGUGACUUCUUCAAUGUCAGCUGCAGCAAUCAAUAGAAGAGACCUACAUAGGUGGACUACUUUCCAUAGAGCUUGUUUCAAAGGGAAGAUAAAAGUCAUUCGAACGCUGCUUGAAAAGGGUUUGGAUAUGGAUGCUAAAGAUGAGGAUGGACACACCGCGUUGCACUGUGCAGCGGAGUCGGGUCAUGCGGAUGUGAUUGAGAUGUUUAUAAAGAAAAGAGUUGAUGCUGAAGCUCGAACUAACAAAGGUGUGACUGCACUGCAUAUUGCUGAGUCUUUGCACUACGUUGGGAUUACUAGGAUACUUAUUCAUAGAGAUGCAACAAAAAAACAAUAGUAAUAUGGCACAUAUGUUGACCCAGGCCUCAGUUUCAUUUGGGAAAAAAUCUAUGGGACUAGAGGAGGAGAUCAUCAAAGGAGGAAUGAAGAAGGAGAAAUCGAGUCAAGCUAGAGCUCUUCGUGUGAGCUUUGAUGGUUCGAUGCCAUUGGUUGUUGUUUAGCUAGUAAAGUUAGAACUAAUAUUGGUGCAUUGGUAUUUUGAUAAACGUAGUAUAAAUUAGAGGAUUCAAAACUUCAAAAUCAUUAUCCAUCAAUAAAAAAACUUGUUUUUCUCUAUGAGAGCUAUUAGGGUUUUAGCCGUAAUGAGCGUAUGAUAAAUAAAGAGUGAUCCUAGGGUUUAAUUAUAGUGUUUGGGUUUAUUGAUAAAUUUGAGUUUUAUUAUUAAUUUUAUUUUGUACUUAAUAGUAAUUAUGCAAUAGGGUAAAAUAGGCAAUUAACAUUUAAAAUUUAGGGGGGGUGUAUUCAAUUGGGAAUUUGAGAGAUUUUAAUGGAUUUAUAAAUCCAUGAAUUUUUAUGGAGUCUAAUUGAUUUGUAGAGAUUCCAUAUAAAAUUUUAAUUCAAUUCCCUCCAAAUCUCUUGGGGAGAGAUAAGAUUUGUGGAUGAUUAAAAUACACUACAAAAUCUCUCUAAUUCCCUCUAAUUCCCCAACUUUGUCAAAUUCUUUAAAAUCAAAUUCUAAUUGGAUACACCUAGAAUGUUAUAAACUUCUUUAAAAUCUUAAUGGAAUACACCCGGAUUUCUAAGGAUUUUAAUAAACUAUCUUAAAAUCCUAAUUGAAUACGCGUUGAAUUUCAGAUAAUCACUUAAAAUCCUGAUUGAAUACCCCUAGAUUCAUUAAAAGAAUUAAAAUCCCUCAAAAUCCCAAUUGAAUACACCUCCUAAGAUGAGUGUAAAAAAAUAUUACAUAAGUUUAAAUAAAAUUUCCCUUUGACGUCCAAAGCAAGUAUCAUAAAAUAUCAACCAUGUAGUCAUUUAUCAGGUAGGAAAAGCUCACAUGGCAUUGCGUACACUAAUCCUUUGAUCACAUCACAAUCUUUACAAACUUAAGCAUCACAAAUCAUGAUCAGCUAAGUAAUUAACGUUACAUAAUUAACCAUUGUCCACUAAUUAAAAAAACCAAACAUGAUAUGCACGUAGAGAAUGGGCGGUCUAAGAAGAGAAGGCGUCGAUGAUGGUAGUGUGGAGCGGGUCACUCAAAUGGGUAGCCCAGUUGUUAAGCGGGCCCUUUCCGGUCACGGCGGCCUGCACGGCGAACCCGAGGAACCCAACCAUGGCGAGGCGGGCGUGCUUGAUUUCAGCCAGUUGAAGCGUGGCCUUCUUUUCUGGGUCGGCGGCAAGGCCCAAGGGGUCGAAGAACUUGCCACCCGGGUACAACCUCUUUUCCGGGUCGAGCUCGGCGUUCCUCUGGAACUCGAUGUAGCCAAUCACUAGAACUUCGAUCCAGAUCAAUGUGGUUAGUGAGAACGGGAGUGGCUGACCCAAGUAGGAUGAACCUUCGAUGAGCUCCACCUGUACAAAUAGCUCCACAUAAUUAGCGUUGACUGUGAGGUCAAAAGACAAAAAUACACCAAAUGAUUUUGUAUUUUAAAAAACUAGAUUUUAAUCCCUAAAUAAGAUGAAGUUUAGAAAAAUGUCUUAUACAAGAUUAAAAAUUGAUUUUAGUCCCUAGACUCUAUUAAAUGUCAACAUAUGUAUUCAAUGUCUCUUUUUUUUAUUUAUAAUUUUAUGGUGUUCAUAAAUUAAAUUUUAUGAAAAUAUUAUAAAUUUUUAAUUCUCAUUAUUGUGAGUAUCUUAUAUAAGAAAAUAUUUUCGUAGAGAUUGUUUCGUACAUUUAUAUUUUCGCACAUUUUUUUAUGUGCCACUAAUUCAUUACAAUAUAUUUAGGUACAAACAUUUCAGUACAUUGAGUUAGUAUAAUAUGUUUAGUAUGGACAUUUAGGUAUAUUAGUUUAGUAUAAUAUAUUUAGAUAUCGAGAUUUCAGUACACUAGUUUAGUAUCAUAUAGUUAGGUACAGAAUUUUCGGUACACUUAUAUUUUUGCAUAUUUUCUUAUGUGCCACUAAUUUACUACAAUAUAUUUAGGUACGGACAUUUCGGUACAUUAAAUUAGUAAAAUAUAUUAUGAUAUGGACAUUUAGGUACACUAAUUAGUGGAAGUUAAAUAAAAUUAAUGAAUUAAAAUGUGUAUAAUAAUAAAUUUAAAAUUUAAUGUAAUGACAUUAAAUAAGAUAUCUAUUAAAUAUUAAAAAAAAUAUAACAUAAAUUUGAAUUAAGUACACAUUAAGGGACUAAAAUCAAUAUCCAAUCUCACAUUAGGUUUUUAUUAAAUUUUAAUCUUCUUGAAGGAUUAAAGUUCAAAAACCCCUUUGUUUUGUUUUUUAUUUUUUUUUAACAAAUGAUAUUCCACUUUAGAAGGGAGAGUAAGUUAAGUCUGACAAUAAACUAAUAAUAAGAUGAUUCAAAUUUGUAUUUUAGCAAGAUUUGAACAAAUGAUAUUAUACUCUAGAAGGGAGAGUAAGUUAAGUCUGACAAUGAACUAAUAAUAAGAUGGUUCAAAUUUGUCUUUUGGCAAAGAUCGAACUUAAAAUCUUUCACUUACAAGUGAAGAGAAAUACAAUUAGACUGUAAUAAGUGGCAAAUACACCAAGCUAUUCACAGACCCAUUUUUAUCUCUCACUCGUUCUUAUUAAAUUUUGACUGUUUAUCUUCUUCAAUUCAUUCGAUCUGAUGGUCGAAAAUUAAGAAAAAUGUAUGACAAGUAAAAAUGAGUGUACGUAUAUGCACUUUGAUUUGGCGCCAAAUAAAAAAAAUGCAAAAUGUAAGCUACGUACCUUUCGGCGUCUUGCCAUGUGAUCCCGGUUAGGGACUCAACAGUGAGAGCACCGAGCGUGGCGAGCAUGGCCCACCUUCCAUGAAUCAGCUCGCACUCCCUAAACCUCUGCAACCCAAACACCUCCGUGUAAGGCUGAAACGGCGUCGACUGGACGUCCGCGGUUUCGGUUCGAGUCCCGAUGAUGUCACCCGCCAAGUUCUUGGCCAAGUUUUGGUCCAACCCGUCGUAGUCGUACUGCAAAUACUCCGCGGGUUUGCCCAAACCGAACGGGUCGAACCCGUAGUCGCCCACCAGGGUCCCGUCCAGCCACUCCGGAGCCUUUGCGCCCGGGUACCAGAGCGGGCGGUCAGUCGAGAAAGUGGGUUUUGUUGAUUUCUUGGGCGGCCUUUUCUUGGUCCCGAAUCCGAACCGGCCCUGAACCCGACCCGAGUUCGAGUACGCCUCAGACGGGAGGCGUGUCCCGAUGAAGGAGGAUGUAGCGGCGGCAGCAGCUGUGGUUGUUGCCAUGGCGCCGGGGGUGGAGGAAGGAUCGAGAUUAUUGCAAUGUCUGUUUAAGUGAAUUUGUUUGGGAUUUUUAUGUGGAGAUAUGGAAGUAAGUAUUUUAUCGGGUUGGAAUGGAUGAUCCGGUGUGGCGGAUUACUGGCCCUUGGAUUGAGAAGAGUAUCCAUCUGACGGAUGUGAGGGUAUCGGCCUUAUCUUUGCCUUAUCUGAUGGUGGGGUUUGGGAAAUUUGGACAUCAAAUUGACUGUUUUCUUUUUGAGAUCAUUGUGGCAUUUCUUGUGGUUGAGGUCACAAGUACCCUAAAAUCUAGUUCCUUUUUCUUGUGGUUGCCCCUUCCUCAGUGAGUUUCUUCUGUAUCAUGUAUGUUUUUCUAAGCCAACGUUUGAAUUGUAUUUUAACUGUAAUGACAAGAGCCGAGUAUAAGUAACUAGAACUAGUGGUGAGCAUGUGAAUUAGGUUAGCUACGGCGUUUUCGUAAAAGUUCAAUCCACAAGUAAAAGACCCAAAUCUUCAGUGCAGCAUAAUCUCAUAAGAUUAGAAUGCGGAGUUCCAAAUCUUUAGUGUAGCAUAACCUCAUAAGAUUCGAAUACGGAGUUACGGUGGACAAACUCAGAGACCACUGCUAUCAAUUUUUAUUGUCAGAGACCAAAUUGCCGAGUUACAUCAAUGCAAUGAACCAUUUUAGCUAAAAAGCCAUCUCAUAUUUAAUGCAAGAUCUGAAUGAGAAUGGAAAGCUUAAGGAAUACAUACUUCAUGAGAAAAAUCUUGGGCACCCCACGUCAGUAGAAUACUUUUUACAAAAGCAACAAGACCAAUAUAUUCUAAUCUUAUCCGAAUCCAUGCUUGUCCCAUUUUAUACCCACCCCACCCCUUUUGGAUGUUAAUACAUGAAUAGUUAAUGCUAUGUUCGAAUGUUUAGGAUUAGAUGCGUCAUUGUUUUUUUAAGAGAGCUUUUGCAUAAGUAACAUGAAAUUGUAAUGAAUCAUGUGCAAGUCACUAUCGGCAUGGCGUCUACGGCGGUCUGGAUGCUGCCAGAAGAUCUUGAUGGUUAUCUGUUACCGGAGUAGACUGUCGUACGUGCUGUGGCACCGCGUCCUUCACCAAACAGGUUCCCUUUGAAAGAAAAAUCGAAAGUAGGUUGCUUACGCACCGUGUUCUGCCAUGUCUUUCCACCAAGAUCUGACAUGGCGGAUCACGGUGCAAAUCGUCUGAAACCCAUUUACAAACUAACGAAGAGAGGAGUUCAAGAAUAAUUAAACUAUAAAUGCUUACGCAAUUUGAUCAGUUUGUUCCCAAUUGGGCUUCUAGAUUUCGAAACAGAAAACAACUUUCAUGCUUGCUUACAAAGAUAAAAGAACCUCUAACCUACCACAAAUGGCAUGUUAGUAUCGUAAUUAAUUACAAAUUAAAGAGAAAAUUGUCAAAGUAAUGCAACUCUAUUUACACUUCCAAUAUAAAUAAAUUGGAGAUACGGAAAGAAUUGUAAUGAGAAUUUCCCAGGUGAUAUUCCAGCCCCUGUUAAUUACCCCUUAUCGACGAAGAUCAUACGAAACAAACUUAGGAUUUGGCGCGAUGAGAGGAAGCUUAUCAAUGUACAUAAAAAGUCUCUUUGAAUUCUCCCUAGAGAUUGUAGACAGGUCAACAAUCUCAUUGUUGCUGGUGUAGAUCCAAAGAUCGCAUGAGUUGACUCGUUUCAGACUGUCACGGCAGAAGGGGCAUGAUUGAGACAGUGUACGCCUACAUAAAUCAAAAGGGAAAUCCUCUUAGCCAAGGAAAAAACAGACACAUUAACUGAUGUAGCCAAGGAAAAAAACAGAUAUCUUAGAUCCAGAUUAUAUAUGCCAGAGACUAUUUGACCGUGGUGCUAUGUUAUCACUUAAGAGAACUAUAGAACAUCACUUUCAAUACAUUCUUAAUACGAUGUAUUUUGAUUGCUAAACUUGAAAAUAUAUGGAUCUAAAUUAUCGCGUUUCAGCCUACCUAUGUGCAGGUGAAGAUUACUUGAAUCAUCAACCACUUGUGCAAGAAAAAUUGAAUACAAACAGGAAACUUUCGGUAAGAAAUAUGAGAAAUCAAGAUCAACAAGCAAAAGGGGAUAAAGAAGGAGAAAGUAACAGCUGCUUACCAGUUUCGAUAGCACUUCAUACACAUACAAUGACUGCAAUUGGGCAAUACAACCUUGCUGUUCAUCUCCAUGCAAAUACCACAUUCUUCUUCUCGCUCUAAAUCAAUUUCGGAGAGCUUUCCUUUGACCGCCUCGUCUUUUCUCUUGUACUUGGUGGAAAGGAUUUCGUUUUGUUUCCUAUCUUCUACCUCAGUCAAUCCCCUCUGAAGUUGCAAUAACGAAGGAAAUAUCACGCCUGAUUUGAAACAGUCAAAACGGGAUUGCUAAAGAGUUGUACAUCUUUGUUUUAUAAACACUUCUGUUCAAGAAUUCUAAUAAAAGAAUACAAAUUGCCUUCAAGUUACUUACUGUAGAACUCUUUUAGACUAGCUUUUCUUUCAUGAAUAGACAUGGUGGUCUUCCCAUCCUCGUACACCUGCGACAAAAUUGACACCAUCACAACAAUGACAAGAAGCUACAAUUCUUUAUUACCAAUACACCAGAUUUAAAGUUAGAUGGAGGGGUCACU
Molecule: long non-coding RNA, 46221 nt
Filed under: Malus domestica (apple)
Lineage: Eukaryota; Viridiplantae; Streptophyta; Magnoliopsida; Rosales; Rosaceae
Description: long non-coding RNA (MDOM_LNC011559)
Source: RNAcentral